UUCGCAAGUAUAUUGCCGAUCCUUCUCAUGUGCUGCAAGAGCAGCCGAUCAGUUUGACGAAAGAGUUGUCUUAUGAAGAGGAUCCGGUUCAGAUUCUCGACCGAAAGGAGCAAGUGCUUAGGAACAAGACAAUCCCACUUGUCAAGGUGCUUAAUUUGGAGAAGUCAUCAAGUAGAAGAAGCUACUUGGGAAUCAAAGGAGAAAAUGAUGCAGCAAUAUCCCCAUCUCUUCGAAUGACAGGUAUGUAAAUUUCGAGGACGAAAUUUUUAUAAGGAGGGGAGAAUUGUCACAUCCCGACCCUUAAAUUUUUACCUUAUUUAUUAGCUUGGUUAUAAUAAGAAUUUUACCGUCUCCGUUAAUGACGUUAUAGUUUAAUUGGUCCCUAGAGGGGUUUUGGGGGACGAUUAUUUCGGAGAGUUAUUUAUAGGAGAAAAAUAUGACGACGGUAAAAAUGGUAAAUUUUAGCUAGUAAAAGGUAAUUUUUAUUAGGGUAUUAUUUUUGGGGUGUUAAAUUGGUGGAGUUGGAUAAUAUUUGUGGUGUUGGGCCAGGUUGGUGGGUGAGGCCCAAACCCCAUUUUUAUUUCCUUUUUUUCUUCUCUUCUUCUCCUCUUUUUCUUCUUCUCUCUUUUCUUUUCCUUCCACUCUUGAGCUCUCUCUCUUCCUCUGCCGGAAUCCACCGUUCGCCACUGUCGUCCGGCCAAGCAGGACGGUCCGUCGUCCUCCCCGCCGCCUUCCUGGGCUGGUGAGCGGCGCUGCAGCCCCGCCGAUCGGAGGAAGUCCUCCUUGGACGUCGUUUGUCUUCUUGCCGGAGCUCCCUCCUCCGGCCACCAAUCCUGGCAAGCCAUAUACGGUUUUGUAGGUCUCCAACCCAGUUGCCAUGCCCUAAAAGGACUCACUCCGGUUCGCUUCAGGUAAGGAGAAAUUUGAGGUGGAAGUUCUAGGGCGAUUUGGAUGUUUUUGCUCGAUUGGCAUAGCUAGGCUCGGAUUUUGGGUUUGUGCUAGUUAGGAAAGUUGUAGAGCAUGAUGAGAGGAGUAUUCUGUCAAAAUUUCAUAGGAAUUGAAGGUUGCAGGAAUCGGCCUUCGGCCACCGCUACGGGAUGAGCUGGCGCUGGUGCCGCCGCCAGUUGGGAGAUUUUAAUGUUGUUAAAUUUGGAAUAUUAAGGGGAGUUUAUUGAAGUGAGUUAUGGAAUUUUUGGAUGAGUUUUGGAUAGGUUUAUGAAUUUCCGAAGUGUGGUAUUUUUGGCGGUUAAUUAAUGUAGAAUCCGGCCGUUGGAUUAAAAUUGUUUAAACUGUGGGAAGGUGUAGUUACGGCUGCUAGUUAUAGGGUUGAAAUGUGGACCACUUUGAAGUUAGGCAAUGUUGAGCGUGUUAAUGGCUCUCGGUUAAUUUUGCCUAUUUUGUGCAAAUAUUGGAAUUUCGGCUGGGAAAUUAAUAUUAUAUUUGGAACAGGUCGUGAGGAGGCUCGAGCAGACAAGGCCCCAGUUCGACAUUAGGCUUAGGCCUAAUUUGUGAGUGGACUUUUAUUUUAAAUAAUGUGCAUGCGAAAUAAUUUAUGUGGUUAGAGAAUAACCGAAAUUGAGAAUUUCGGUGAGUAUGUAUAUAUGUCCAUAUUUGGAUGAUUAUGAGAAUAAUAUGUAUAUGUAGAAAUGCUAGCUAGCUAUACGUGCUUUUCCACCAUACUGAGGUAAAAUUCCAUUAUGGUGCGACAUGAGCGUUAGACGCAAUCGUCGUAGCCCUAUAUAAAUAUAAUAAUUUAUAUUGGGGAUAUGCGCGUAUAUAUAUUUAUACACCGUCUUUUCCACCGUAAUGAGGUAAAAUGUCAUUAUGGUGCGACGUGAGCGUUAGGCGCGAGCGUCGUAGCCUUGUGUGAAUUUUCUAUUUGUCUUUGUUGUUUCAAGAAAAUUCAUACAAGAGAUAUGACGAGUGUAAUACAUACAUAUUUUAUUUUAGCCUGAGAGGCUCUUACUUUUUUGAAGUGUUGGUGACUAGUGUGGCUAGUCAGGUGUUGGUAAAUUCAGUAAAUUUUUAAAAGCUUUUGAGUUGGUUGCAUGCCAUUAAUUGUUUUUCCACUGAAGUUUAAAUUGGGAAAGCAUAAAGAAUUAUUUCUUUUAAUUUAUUUUUGUCCACUCACUCUAACGGUGUAAAAUGUUUCCCCUGGGCCCUUUGUUUUAAAAUGCCCAGUCUGCAGAGUACGGGUUGGACCUAGUAGGAGACGAGGCAUAGUCACCCGCAUUUCCACCACUUUUCAUCCGUAGGUUACCUGUUUAACCUACCUGUGGUUUCUUAUUUCCAUUAGUGUCUAGUAGCUCUGAAUACUUGGGUUUAAUGUAUAUUAUUUCGGUUGUGGGCGAAGACUUGUUGACAUUUUAGAAUAUUUGUCGGAGGAUUUAUGUUAUCUAAUAUUGGAUAAUUCUGUGUUGGUGGUGGUUGUAUUUGGAGAGCACGUAGGCUCCAGAAGUUAAGGUUGGAUUGAGAAUUUUAGAAGUGUUUGCAGGUUUUCUUUAGAAAAGGUUGUCCAUUUUCAAGGGAGGUUAUGCCGAAUUUUCGGUAAUAUCUUCCUUGGAGGUGGUCCCCGCAAGAUUUACUCCGGGUUUUAGGGUAAAAUUCGGGGUGGGUCUUGUCAUGUAGAGAUCUCUAUAUGGAUUGGAUUUGACAUUGAUGCGUCCCCCCAACGAUAAUCACAAUUUAGACUUCAUGAUACGAAUUUGAGUAUCAGUGAUCAAUGGAUCAAGUUGUGCCAAUCUCGCUUUCUUCCUAGUGCGGGAAAGUUUCGAACCUAAGGGCCUCCCUCCUUUUGGGGAGCCACACAGCCUUGUGACACCAAUUUUGCCACUAUAUGGCGUCACCAUAUCAUCAUCCAUGGUGAUGGCGUCAAGACCAACACCUUUUGGUCGCGCCAUGUCCUCUUGAUAGGACACCAAUCCUUGCAGACAUAUUUGCAGCAUGUGAUCACGUCACUUUAAUACUUUAAGCAUUUGGGGUCAAGAUGAGACUUAGUGGGGACAAACCAUGAUAAUUCACGUUGUUCCACUUGAACACUUGUGUUCUUAUCUCCCCCUAACGGCGGGAAUAUUGUCUCAUCAUAGUGACAAUCCAUAAUUUAGCAGUGAAUGAGAUCGCCUGACAAGGUUUCUACAUAAGUAGAUUAUAGGUGGAGGUUUAUAUCCAACCUAAACUUAUUCAUCUCAAAUGCCCAUCAUUGUGCGCAGUGGCAUUGCAAUUUGGCACCUAGAAAUAACAUCUAACCGAGCUCAAAUAUUGGAGAUCCGUUUCAAUCCUGUUUGAGCUCAAGGAUUGCAAUUUCGUGUCAAUCCUGGUACACAGUCACGAGCUGUAGUACAAUAAUAUUAAAUGAUAAUGGGUCGUAGAUGAAUAGAAAAGCUGCGUGCAAAUAUUGCAUAGCCCCAGGACGCAAUAGAAAGAUUGGUGCACAUCAAUAAUGUUCAAGCGACAAGCUAAGGUUGCUUGGUCAUAGCCUCGGUAAGACCGUAUUGCGUGUGAACAUGGGGUACAGGACACUUCAACUUAUAUUCCGAUAAACUUUUUAAAGAAUGGGUAGUGAGCCUGUAGAAGGAUACGCAGCAUAAGCAGUAGAUAAUAGUGUAACAUAUGACCAGUGUGUUAACACUUCAACCAACACCAUAAAAAAUAAAAAGGUGUCUGCAAGUUGGUUAUAUCUAUCUAUAUAGUUUGAUGUAAGAAUGAAAUGUUCAGUUUUGUGUCAUUUAGUGUAGGAGGGUCUCCCUCCUAAUUUAGCUAAAAAAUAGGCUUUCAAAAUGAGCAAUGAGCAAUGCAGGGGGCCAAUGAGACAUCGAGGGAAGGCCGAUGCACCUCAAAACUUCUCUAAGAUGCAUUUCAGUCUAUAUUCAUGAGAAUGUAUACACAAAAGAACUCUUGUUUAUUCUCACAAUGUGUUUUCAAAUGAAAACUAUUCGCAGGAAUGUCUUUAUAGCUUAACAUGGUUCGGUUGCCUCUGAAUGCAUAGAGGGCAUCUGUGAUGUUGAUCAUGGUGCCAUGAGACAUAAAGAAUCAAGCUAAAUCACGUCCCUGAAUGACCGGUAUGAUUCAAGUAUUGUAGUCACAGAAGAUUUACAAAGACACAAAAUCGAAAGAUAGUUGUCGGUUCCUUAGAAUGUUAUGGAUAGUUCCACAACCUGCGAGGCACUCAAUGUCUCUAUGAGACAGAUCUACAAAAUGGAGUAGAUAAGAGAGUAAAUAGUUCCACUUGAACCAUUUAGAGGGAUGGAAAGAAGCUACGAAAAGCUGCAAUCCCAAGAGUGCAUAAAAAUUUCCGCGCAGAAUGACCUUUGCGCCCUAAAACAACCAUAACUUCUUUGUUAAAAUAGAUAUGGACAAACCGUUAAAAGUUCUAAAAAUUAGACUUGUAGAACUUUCCAAUGAUAUAAAGCUCACUGUCUGGUUCAUCUGGAGCUAUUCACAAAGCUCAAACAAAGUUGACUGUCCAGAAGGGACGGAUUGCUGUUUUUCAUAGAAUUGGCAUGUGCGAAGCUGUGAAGCUUGCAGGUGGCGUGUAAGUGUUUGCCUUAGCCAAAAGUGACGUGUGUAUGAUCAAAACCAAGUCCUUUCGGUCGUUCCAAGGUCGUAAACUCCAUGACUAGUUAGCAAAAGCUCUCUGACAUGAACAUAAACUAAUUCAAAGGACUUAGAGGAUUCGAUCAUGAUGAUGAUUGUCUAGUUUGGAUAAGUCUUCAACGUCUUUUGCAAGACGAAAAUUGGUUUAAUAGCGGAGGGGGAUCCAAAAUCAAAAGCUUUCGGUAAGUCCAAGUCAGUAUGACCAAGCAUGUCCGUGGAGGGUCAGUAGUGCGAGGCACACUUGAAACCACUAUCUCCUUAAUUUCAGUCAAUUCUAAGACAUCACAAUGAGCUUGGAUGAGCCUAUUUGAACAGUUGAUGAUGGAAAAUCCGCUAUAGGGUAGAAGACUUAACCGAAAAACAAGUGGGCGAUCCUCCUUGAGGAUGCGGUGCCAUGAAUCAGCUUCAAAGGAAGGGACCAAAAUCGGCACAAUAUGUCAUGUUUCUAAGGACGAUGUAAGAAUGUACAUUUUUUUUUUGUAAAUCAAAAUGAACCAUAAAAGGAGAAUAGUUUCAUAACAUCGAAAAAGUUCUCAAGGCAUUCAUUAUUGCACAGAUAUUAUAACUUUUAGGUCUAUGACCCACGUAGAGAGAGUUUAAUCUUGGUUGAUGUUCAUGUUUAAGUAAUGCCAUUGAAUACUUGGUUUGGGUUGUUUAAUUACUGCUAUGACUUGGUUUAUGUUGUGGGGAGUGAAGGACUCCAGGAGUGGUGGUUGGUUAUUAUAGUUGAAGUGUUUCAGUUUUUUUUUCAGGAUGGGUUGUCCAUUUUUAGGGGAGGUUAUGCCGAAAUUUCGGUAUAAUCUUUUUUAAGAGUGGACCCCGCAAGACUUGCCUAUUUUACUAUGUGUUUUCGGGGCGGGUCUUGUCAGUUGGUAUCAGAGCAUUAGGUUCCUCUUCCUGUUGAAUUAAUGGCGUCUAGUUUAAUACUAGAUUGUCCAUGUGAGUAGUACUAAUCUAUAUUUAUCUCAGGUACUAUGCCUCCUAGACGGCGAACACAGAGAGCUCCUCCUGUGGGGGAUGAUAUGAGUGCACAAGAGGGUAUGCUGGGAGCGUUUGAGCAGAUUGUUAACCAGUUUGCUGCAACAAUGAACCCUCAGCCCUCGCCUGAUUUUAGCAUUAAGAAAACCAAGGAAAAUGGUGCUGAGAAGUUUUCUACAGCCAAGGAUCCCAUUGAGGCCCAGGAGUGGAUUGAGACUAUGGAGAGAGUGUUUACUAGGAUGAGUGUUCCUGAAGAUCGUAAGGUAUUUGUGGCAGUGCAAUGGUUGCACGGUCCUGCAUGGCAUUGGUGGGUCGGUAUUACUAGAGAUUAUGGGGAUGCUCCUCACAUGACUUGGGAUGAGUUCAAGGCCCAUUUCAAUGAUCGUUACUAUAGUCGAGCUCAUCUCCAUAGGAUGCAGGAUCAGUUUAUGAAUUUGCAGAAAGGAGAUAUGUCAGUCUUGGAGUUUGAGCAGCACUUCCUUGCUAGAGCUCAUCAUGUUCCUGACUUGGUUCGAGAUGAGCCGGAUAAGAUUUACAGGUUUGUUCGGGGACUUGGGGGUGAGUAUCAGGAAAAGAUGCAAGCAGUGUUGUAUCCGAGAUUUAGUAAUGCAGUUGCGGCAGCUUUGAAUAUUGAGACCUCACAAAUGGGUAGCCGACCCCGAGACUUUGGUGGCCCUAGUCAGGGACCGUCAAAGAGAGCAGCAUCCACAUCCGGUUCCGGAUCUUCUGUGGGUAGUGGUCGUAGUAGUAGCUCUGGUCAUUCAGCUCGACCUAGACUCAGAGGUAGCCAGAGAUUUGCUAGGGGAUUUGCAGGCAGACGCCCCUUUAGUCAGUUUAGGGGUGGUAGUAGUGGAGGCCACAGUGGUCAGUCAGGUCAGUAUGGUCAGUAUCAGCCAGUUGGGUGUUUCGAGUGUGGCGAGCCAGGUCACUUUAAGAGAGAUUGUCCCCGUUUGGCUCAGGGGGUCGCGCCUACAUUUUAUCAGACUGCAGGUCAGACUUCAGUUGGUGUUUCUAGCAGUGGCUCACGUGCUAGUUCGGCAGUUAGAGGGGGUCCCCAGCGGGGUAGAGGUCAGUGAGGACGUCCUACCACUCAGGCUAGAGUUCAUGCCAUGUCAUUGCAGGAGUGGUAUGUGUCUUUGCCUUCGGGUGAUGUGUUUAAAAUUGAUUGGGUAUUUAGGUCUUGUGAAGUUCUGGUUGAGGGGUAUGACUUGGAGGCAAAUUUAAUUCCGUUAGAGAUGGUUGAUUUUGAUGUAAUUUUGGGGAUGGAUUUCUUGGAGGCAUAUCAGGCUUUGGUUGAUUGUUUCCAGAAAACAGUAGUGUUCCGAAGUCCGGGGAAGCUAGAGAUUACAUUUUGUGGAGAGCGAAAUGUUUUGCCAUCUUGCUUGAUUUCAGCAGUAACAGCAGGAAAAUUGUUGAGUAGGGGUUGUCAGGCAUAUUUGACUCAUGUUGUGGAUACUCGUAUGGGAGUUCUUAAGGUUGAAGACAUUCCUAUAGUUAAAGAGUUCCCUGAUGUCUUUCCUGAGGAGUUACCUAGUUUACCUCUGGUAAGGGAGAUAGAGUUCACCAUCGAAUUACUCUCUGGUACAGCCUCUAUUUCUCAGGCACCGUACAGGAUGGCCCCGGUGGAAUUGAAGGAGUUGAAGGUCCAAUUGCAGGAGUUAGUGGACAAGAGUUUCAUAAGGCCUAGUAUGUCUCUUUGGGGUGCCCCAGUAUUGUUUGUAAGGAAGAAGGAUGGUAGUAUGAGACUGUGCAUUGAUUAUAGGAAGUUGAAUCAAGUUACUGUGAAAAAUAAGUAUCCUUUGCCCCGCAUAGAUGAUUUGUUUGAUCAGUUGAGGGGUGCUAAAGUCUUUUCCAAGAUUGACUUGAGGUCCGGGUACCACCAGUUGCGGAUUAGAGACUCUGACAUAACCAAGACCGCCUUUCGGUCACGCUAUGGUCACUAUGAGUUUGUGGUGAUGCCGUUUGGAUUGACAAAUGCACCCGCUGCUUUCAUGGAUUUGAUGAAUAGGGUGUUUCGCCCAUAUCUAGACCGUUUUGUCAUUGUGUUCAUUGAUGAUAUUCUGGUCUAUUCAAAGAGUGAGAAGUUACACUCUAAACAUUUGAGUCUGGUGCUUCAGACUUUGAGGUGUGCAGAGCUAUAUGCCAAGUUUAGUAAAUGCGAGUUUUGGCUUGAUAGUGUUGGAUUUUUGGGCCAUGUUAUUUCAGCUGAAGGUGUUAGUGUGGAUCCUCAAAAGGUGGAAGCAGUGACUAAUUGGAGUAGACCUAAUAGUGUAACGGAGAUUCGUAGUUUCUUGGGUCUAGCAGGCUAUUAUCGUCGUUUUGUACGAGAUUUCUCUAAGAUCGCCGCUCCACUUACAAGAUUGACGAGGAAAGGAGUUAAGUUUGAGUGGUCUGAGAAAUGUGAGCAGAGUUUUCAAGAACUCAAGAAUCGGUUAACUAGUGCUCCUGUUUUGGCUUUGCCUGAUGAUAGUGGAGAAUAUGUGAUAUAUUGUGAUGCAUCAAGAGUAGGUUUGGGUGGUGUGCUUAUGCAGCAUGAAAAUGUAAUUGCUUAUGCUUCUAGGCAACUUAAGCCGCAUGAGUUGAAUUAUCCAACCCAUGAUUUAGAGCUUGCCGCGGUGGUUUUUGCAUUGAAGUUGUGGAGACACUAUCUUUAUGGAGCUAAGUGUUAGAUCUUUACGGAUUACAAAAGUCUCCGAUAUAUUUUUACUCAAAAAGAAUUGAAUUUGAGGCAAAGGAGGUGGAUGGAGUUGAUUAAAGAUUAUGAUUGCACUAUUGAGUACCAUCCUGGAAGAGCGAAUGUGGUGGCAGAUGCUCUUAGUCGGAAGCCUACCUGUAGCUUAUCCUAUGUGAGGACAGUUCGACUUCCUCUUUUUUAUGAACUACGAGCUACAGGAGUUGAUUUGUCUGUGGAUAGAGUUGGUACUUUGGUUGCUAGUUCCAUGUGAGACCGAUUCUGAUUGACAGAGUGCGGGAGGCACAAUAUCAGGACCCUUCCAUUGUCCGCUUGAUUGAAAGAACACGUGGUGGCACCACGGUGGGAUUAUCCAUUGGAAAAGAUGGGGUAUUAUUAUUUAAAAACAGACUUUGUGUGCCGAAAAGAAAUGAAGUGCUUAAGCAAGAGAUUUUGGAGGAAGCUCACAGUUCUCCUAUGCGAUGCAUCCUGGUAGUACUAAGAUGUAUCGGACUUUGAGGGAAUUUUAUUGGUGGCCAAAUAUGAAGAGAGAGAUUGCGGCUUUUGUAAGUAGAUGCUUGGUUUGCCAGCAGGUGAAAGCUGAAAGGCAGAAACCAGCAGGGUUGCAACAACCCCUGAAGAUUCCAGUGUGGAAAUGGGAUCAUGUCACUAUGGACUUUGUUUAUGGUCUACCUCGUUCCCGAGAUGGUCAUGAUGGUAUUUGGGUGAUUGUUGAUCGACUCACCAAAUCAGCACACUUCUUGCCGGUUAAUAAAACCUAUAAAUUGGAGGAAUUGGCAGCAUUGUAUGUAAAUGAGAUUGUCAGACUUCAUGGGGUGCCAGAAUCUAUAGUAUCUGAUCGGGAUCCUCGUUUUGUGUCAAAGUUUUGGAAAAGGUUACAGACGGCUUUGGGGACUCGAUUAUGUUUUAGCACUGCCUAUCCACAAACCGAUGGGCAAUCCGAGAGAACUAUUCAGACCCUAGAAGAUAUGUUGAGGUCUUGUGUGAUUCAAUUUAGAGGGAGUUGGGAUAAGAAAUUAGCUUUGAUGGAGUUUGCCUAUAAUAACAGUUUUCAUUCUAGUAUUGGUAUGACACCAUUUGAGGCCUUAUAUGGGAGGCAAUGUCGUACACCCUUAUGCUGGAAUGAAGUGGGAGAAAGAGAAUUUGCUGCUCCAGAAAUUGUGUUUCAUACAAAUGAGAACAUCAAGGUAAUCAGAGAUAGACUCAAGGCAGCUCAGAGUAGGCAGAAAAGUUAUGCGGAUAACCGCAGGAGGGACCUUGAAUUUCAGGUUGGUGAUUGGGUAUUCCUGAAGUUGUCCCCAUGGAAGGGUGUGAUUCGGUUUGGGAAACGUGGAAAACUUAGCCCAAGGUACAUUGGUCCUUAUGAAAUUACGAAGCGGGUUGGCCCAGUAGCUUAUCGUUUGAGGUUAUCUCCAGAGUUAUCCAGGAUCCAUGAUGUUUUCCAUGUGUCUAUGCUCCAUAAAUAUGUGGCCGAUCCUUCUCAUAUUUUGCAAGAACAACCCAUUGGUUUAAAGAAGGAUUUGACCUACGAAGAAGAAUCGGUUCAGAUCUUGGAUCAAAAAGAGAAAGUGCUAAGAAAUAAGACGGUUCGACUUGUUAAAGUCCUUUGGAGAAGUCAUCAGGUUGAGGAGGCCACUUGGGAACCUAAGGAUCAAAUGAGACAGUAGUAUCCCCACCUCUUUUAUUGACAGGUAUGGAAAUUUCGAGGACGAAAUUUUUAUAAGGAGGGGAUAAUUGAUACACCCCGAACCUAGUAAUUAAUUUUAUAUUGUGAUUUCCGGUUUAUUGGUAGCUAAUCAAUUCGGAAAUUUAUUAUGUUAUUCUUAAUAGAGGUGGUUUAGUCGAGUUCAUAGAAUUUUAGUUACCCGGUUAAGAGUUCGUAAAUGAAGGGUAGUUAAAUAAUAACAGUAUCCAUUUUUGGGCUUAGGCAUUUAAGGGAGACACCAUUUAGGAAGGGAAAAAGUCAAAAUCAAAAAAUACAACCCUCUCCACUUCUCUCUCUCCCCGAGCCGAGCCCGACCCCGACCCGUCUGGUUCACCUUGGCUGACCGCCGCCGUCCGGUCACACCAGACCUCCGCGCCGGUCCCGUUCAGCAGCUGGGACCUCGAUCGACCUUCCUAGGGUAGCAGCUGACCCCAUCUCGCCGGCGUUAGGGCGCCGGAGGCCUUAGAAGAAGCUACGUCACCGUUUCUUUUUCUUGUCGGAAUUCCUUCCUCUAGCCACCAAUCGGGAAAUUAAAGGUAGGGUUUUGAUGCCCUCUUACUAGUUAUUCUUUCCCCUAAAGGUAGGAGAUCGAUUGGGUGUAGAUAGCAAAUCGGGGGUUUUGUGUUCUUGGGCUUGUGAAGUGUUUUCCAGCCAAACCCUUGAUUUGUGGGUUUUGUGUUAGUUAGAAUUGUUGUUAAGCUUGAUGAGAGGAAGAGUUUGGUGUAUGGUUUGCUAUUUUUGCUCGGAAUUGUGGGAGAGAUGGUGGUUGACUGCCACUGUCGACAGUUGACCGCCACUGCUGGUGGUUGUUGUCGUUUGUAGUGGUGGUUGUGAAGAGUUUUGUUUGAAUUUCUAGAAGGGUAUAAAGUUGUUAAAGUGUAGAAGGAUUUUUGGUGAUAGGUGCUUGGAAUUUGGGAUAGUUUUGGUUGUUCCAUGGAGGAAAAAGGAGUGUAUUGAAGUAUUAAAAAUUAUGGUAUAUGUUGGUAGGAAUUUAGAAAAUUUUUAAGUUAAUUUUGGUGGAAGAGUAGAGGUGAGCCUCAUCCUUGGGAAUUUCCAUAUUUGUGCUUAAGUGUUAGAACGUUGAGGAAAAAUUGGAGAAGGUUAGUAAAAAUAGUUGGAGUUCUCCUUAGUUUUUGGAGAGUGUAGAGUGAGGGUAGAUGACAUUGCCCUAUUUUGUUACUUUGAUAUUCUUGUAUUAUUUUUGUCUCGGACCUUAAAUCUUGUUUUGUACAGGACGAGAGGAGACACCACGUGAGGAGGGCUCUGACCGACGUCAGGCUUAGCCGUCUAUACUGUGAGUGGACAUUUUAUUUUUAAAGGAGUAUGCAUGCAUGAUUUGUUUAGAAAAUCAUCACUAAUUUUCUGAGUUGAUAUUAUUAUUUCUUUUAUGAAGGGAUCUUGAAAAUGAUUUGAGUUAUUCUAUUUUAAGCAUGUUAACGUGUGAGACACGUUGAAUUUAAUUAACUAUAUUGCUCUUAGAAUUUUUCCAAGUACGGUUGGGAAUCGUACUUAUAUUUUAUUUAUGAGUUUCGGGGAAACUCAUAUGAUUUAUAUUUUCCUUAUGCCAUACUCUUGGAAUAUAUAUCAUGUCAAUGCUAGCAUGUCGUUCCACCUUUCGAGGUGAUGUGACACCCACGUUUCAAGUGGGGUCACGCAAGCCCUUUCCACCCUAGUGGUGAUGUGAUGUUGCCGGCGGCAUCACGCAAGCCUUGUGCCCUAUCCGUCAACUCGACGUGAAGGUACAGGGAAUAUGGGAGUACUAUGCCUGGGAGGCAACCGAGUCUGGGAGACUCACUUAUAUGGCCAUAUAGGAUAUUCUAUUUGAGUUGUUAAAUUGACUAGCGGGGCUAGUCCACUAUUUUUGGAAGUUUUUUUUUUUAUACGAGAAUUCUAUUUAUUUUUCUUAUUGUUUUACGACUAGCGGGGCUAGUGGGAAUUUUGGUUGAGCUUAUAAUAUCUGCAUGCAUGAAAAUUCUUGGUUUCCAUAUAAAUGGAAAAGCAUAUAAAAUCUUGAUUUAGUAUCAUUAUGCUCUUGGAUACUUAUUUAAUUAGUUUGUUUUUCGUCCACUCACGCUAACGUUUUUAAAUGCUUUUCCCUGGGCCCUUUGUUUUCAAAUGCCCAGAUUGCAGAGCUCCUGUUCGGUUUCACUAGGAGUUGAGGCAUAGUUUUCCCGCUGCACCUUGCUGACCGUAGGUUACCUGUUAACCUAUGUGUAGUGUUAUAUUUCCUUCUUGUAGAGCUCUGAUGACCAUGGAAUUAUGUAUAUUAAGUUAAAGAGUUUACUUUUCACUUAGGUCUAUGACCCACGUAGAGAGAGUUUAAUCUUGGUUGAUGUUCAUGUUUAAGUAAUGCCAUUGAAUACUUGGUUUGGGUUGUUUAAUUACUGCUAUGACUUGGUUUAUGUUGUGGGGAGUGAAGAACUCCAGGAGUGGUGGUUGGUUAUUAUAGUUGAAGUGCUUCGGUUUUUUUUUUUCAGGAUGGGUUGUCCAUUUUUAGGGGAGGUUAUGCCGAAAUUUCGGUAUAAUCUCUUUUAAGAGUGGACCCCGCAAGACUUGCCUAUUUUACUAUGUGUUUUCGGGGCGGGUCUUGUCAGUUUGUUCCCGAUCGAGAUACUUACAUUGGAAGGGUGCCACUUAGUUCUUUUGGGUAUUUACUUUAAGAUUGGAAUUGAAGUGAAAACACGGAGAAGAACUAGGCUCGUUUCCGAUUUGAGCUUUAAGAAGCUCAGGUAUUAAGUAAGGGUGAGGUUUCCAGGUUUAUGCUUUUUUACUGCAUCAAUUUUCUUACUUUGAUAAUAUCCUUGUUGAUUUUUACUUUGGAAUAUAUAUUGGUCAAAAUUUCUAGUAGUGUAUAUAACUAUAUAUGGUAUGUUUUUUGUCAAUUCAAUGGUAUAUGAAUUAUAAAUUUGAUUAGUUUAUGCCUUUAUGGUUUGUCAAUUAGUUUGGUUCAAGAUUUGAGAAUCAUCUUUUUGUGUUUAUGUUCGAGUGUUAGGAAUUCAAGAGGGGCAUGAAAGAUUUGAUUGGCUUCUGCAUCAGCAGGGAACUCUGGUUUCCCUAGUACUACAUGCAAUGUUGCUCCCUGGAUCCUCAUUGUUGCUGCAAGCAUUUUGGAUAGAGAAUUCCAUUCAAACGUGUAUCUGGGAAAUUCACAAAUAUUAAAAGUAUAGUUGGCAUACAAAUAUUGUUGCGGCCUCUAAUCAUCAAUCACAUAAAACUACAAAUGUAACUUACCUAUCGCUAUGACUUUUAGGUUCCUCUCUAAACCCACUCGAUAUGGAGAAGUCUUACGGUUUGAUAGCUGUGAGUGUUGCAGCUGCCCCUAGAGUCACAACGAACAAUGCAAGGUAAUCUUUCUUUUCAAAAACUUGAUGCUUCAACACACACACACAACUAAAGUUGACUUUUUCUUUCGUUUGGAUUUCGGGAAAACUUUCUUCAUGAAAAUUGUGGAGGAAGUUAAUACGAGUUCGUAGGCAUGCUAUGCGUUAAAAUCGGAGUUAGCAUGGAAAAGUUAUCAAUUAAAAAGGUAAAUUUUGAGUUGGUAAAAAGGGGGGUAAAAAUUAGUGGGUAUUUUUUUUGGGGGUUUAAGUUGUUGGACCGGGUGUGGGCAGCCCAACACCCCCCUCACUCUCUCUCUCUCUCUCCCUCUACCUUCUCUCUCUCCCUCCCGUGCACUGUCCCGACCCGUUGGAAACCAAGUCUCCGUCCGCCGUCGUCCGGCCGCCAGAGACCGCCGGGCCACCUCCGUUCGGACCCCCGCCGUCCCCUCUCUCUUCCUGGGCCAGUGACCGGCCGUGUAAAGCCGCCGUUCGAGAGGAAGUUCGCCGGAGACGCGGAUUGCCCUUUUGCCCGAGUUCCCUCCUCCAGCCACCAUGGGUUGGAAUUUUUGGCUCAUCUUGUAGCCCUCAUCUAGGUAAGUAAUUCCUCAAAAGAAAUUAGUCUAAUUCGAUCUUGUUAUUGAGAAAUGUAUAAUUGAAGUUCUAGGGCUCAAUUUAAGGUUUUGGUUUGAUUAACCUAGUUAGGCUUAGAAAUGGACUUUGUGUUAGUUAAGGAAGUUGUUGUGUGGGUUGAGAGGAGUGUUGUGCUAAAAUUUGAGAAGCAUUGGAGGUCGCCUGAGUACAGCUGCCGGCCGCCGCUGCCCCUUAGGGGCAGUUUUUCAUGAUUUUGGGUUGGUUUUAAUAAGAGGAGUUUAUUGAAGUAUAGAUUGGAAGUUUUGGAGGAGUUUUGAUAAGGUUUGGGAUUUUUCAUUGGUUAAGGUUUGUGGCGGUUAUUAGAUUGGAAUUUCGGUAGUUGGUUUAGCAGGUUUUAAAUUCUAAGAAGGUUAAAUUAUGGUUUUCGGUAAGUGCGGAGUAAUGUGAGCCUUAUUAGAUUAAAAGUGGAGAAGUUGGGCAAGCGAGAUGAAUUAUAGGCUUCCUUUUAUUUCGGAAAGUUUAUUAAAGUAUUAUUCUAGUCUGGAGGCUUAAUAAUUAUUUAUUGUUCAGGACGUGAGGAGGAUCAUUUGGAGGAAGACUCGGGUCGUCGGCAGGCAUAGCCGAGCACUGUGAGCGAACCUUUGAUUUGAAUGCCAUGCAUGCACUAAAGUUUAAUUAAUUUCAAACGCAUAUUGGAGAUUUAAUGUUGUCUUGAGCAUAUUGGAGUUUUAAUAUUUUUCAUGGAUUAAUGAGUUCCAUUUUUUUUUCGGGAACUCUCUUGCUCAUUUUAUUUGACAUGUGGGACAUGUCAUGUGAUUUAUAUUAUUUUUAGGGAAGUGACAUUCUUGAUAUUUAUUAUUUUACUUCACCAUAAAGGGUUGAUAUAUAUUCAUUAUUGCUAGCUAAUCAUUAUUAGCGGGCGCUUAGCAUAGGUGAGUAGGGCGCUUAGCAUGUGACGCUAUUAUAGCUUGGGAGGCAACCGAUCGGUAUUUAUAUUUAUAUGUUAGCUAGCCAUUAUUAGCGACUACUCACCAUAGGUGAGUAGAGCGCUUAGCGUGGGAUGCUAUUAUAGCCUGGGAGGCUUAUCGUUAUGGUGAAACCUCUUCCCCAUUUUUAUUGAUUUAUUGAGAACCAAUGGGAUUGGUUCAUUAUUUUGUUUAGCUUUGUUUUCGGAAAAAUUUCCAAGAGUGACAUGUAUAAAUAUUUCCUCAAUGGAAAAUAUGGGAAAAACAUAAUUUUUGAUUUCAAGGCUCUAUCAUUAAGUCCGUAUUUUAUUAUUUAUUUUUGUCCACUCACUCUAACAUUUUAAAUGCUUCUCCCCUGGGCCUUUCGUUUUAAAUGCCCAGUCUGCAGAGUUCUGUUCGGCGAGAGUAGGAGGCGAGUCAUAUUUCCCAUCUCAUCCAGUUUUCUCUCGUAGGUUACUAGUUUGACCUACUUGUAUAUUUUCUCAUUUCCUAGUAGUUGCUCUGACCAUGGGAUGUUUUAUUUGAAUUUAUGUCAAGAUGUGUUAAGAGCCUAUGACUCCACUUAGGAGUGAUGAAAAAGGUUUAUUUGGUAUGUUUGUAUGAGAGAUUAUUUUGAAUUAUUAUUUUAGUUGAGGUGGUGGAUGAUUAUUUGGGGGAGCGAAUGGCUCCAGAAGAUGUGGAUUAAAUUGUUUUAGAAAUGUUUGGGUUGUUGGUGAUUUUUCUUUCAGGUAGGGUUACCAAUUUUCAAGGGAGGUUAUGUCAAAAUUUUGGUAGAAUUUCCCUCGAGGUGGGUCCCGCAGGGUUUAUCCCGGAUUUCCCCUUGAAAUCCGGGAUAGGUCCUAACACAUGGUGGUACCAGACUGUUUGAAGGUCAAAAUUGAUAACAAUUAACGUUGUUGAACUUGUAUUACUUGUAUAUGUAUUGUAAUUCAGAUCUUCUAGAAUUUGUUUUGUUUUUUGCUACUUCUCACUUUUACCUGAAAAAAGGAUGAUUUGAUUCACCUUUAUUUUUGAGGUGCCUGGGUGUGCAUAUAAAACUGUUUCUUCAGUUUUUCUGUGUUGGCUGCUCUCAUCACAAGCAUUUCUGUGUUAUGUUAAUUGACUUUGCUUUCCUAUAUCAACAUGCUGCUGGUAUCCCAAGGAAACUUGCACCAACCAUUGGAAUCUCAGUUGACCAUAGCAGCACUACUACAAAACCGGAAAUAGACAACGUUACUUAGAUAACGGUUUAACAAAAACCGUUGUGGUUUUUUUUUACAACUGUUUAGUUAAAACUGUUAUCUAAAGAGAUCACAAAAGUGUUGGACCCUUAAAUAUGAGUUUUCUCAUUUAGUUUGUACAACGGUGUGGCUAAAACUGUUGUCUAUAGAUAAUACAAAAGUGUUGUUUCCAUGGUUAGAAUUUGUAACUACAACUAACAACGGUACAACAAAGCUGUUAUUGAUCUUUAGUUGUUAGAGGUGUUGAUGCUCGAUUAGAAAUUUAUCUCACUAUCACCUAAAAAUAAUUAAUCUAAUCAAUCAAACCUAGCUGGGAAGUGAGAAACAAUUUAAGCUAGCUAGCUAUCAAAAAUUGCUGGUUUAAUUAUCAAUCGGAGAAAGAUAGAUGUUGGUUUAAUUAACUUAGUAUUAUAUUAAGAAGGGGAUUCAUGAUCUUGUAAAAGAAGGGAUUGGGCUUCUUAAUUAGUAUUAUAUUAAGAAGGGGAUUCAUGAUCUUGUAGCUACAACUACCCAAUCCAGGAAAAAAAGAAAAAAACCAAAAACAAAGAACGAUUCCUUCUCUUCGCCACGCAUAGCCUCUCACCACGGCGAGGGGUUCCCCCAUUUAAGAUUUCCGGUGUCGGGUACAUUGCAGUGCCACCGCUCCUCUGUUAGGAUUUGAAAGGCUGCGUUUGGUUCCCCGUCGGAAUACCACUUGCAUGGGCAAUCGCGACACCAUCUUCAUCACCGAAAACCCCUUGCUCCCCGUCGGAAUACCACUUGCAAAACAUCUUCUCAUACGGAAUGGUGUAUGGCGGCGGCGGCUUCGCCAUAAGGUACUCUGUGACGGUGGUAUUUUUUUCAUCUUCUUGCAAGUCCCAAUUUUGAUUUUUGAGUCAAAAGGCUAGGGUUAGAGUAGUGAUUAGUUAGUGAUUAUGCUACGAAUUUUGGGGUUAUGAUGAACUGGCAUGGCUAGCUAGGCAAUACUUUUUAUAUAAUUCGAUCAGUUCUCUCUAUUCUAAAUGACAAGUGUACGUAUAUGCUGAAAUUUUUGCCUCCAUUUGUUCCCUUCCUUUUAGUUUCCCUCCCUUUUUUUUUCCGUUCCCUGUUUCUAAACACGAUCACAAUAUAUAUACUCUUUAUGCUCCUCUUGUGAGUCAGUUAAGAAAAAAGAAAACAAAACUUCCUCGUCUAAAUCAAAGGUCCUUCCGGGUAACUGUGUUUCCAUUAUACACUGAUGUGAGAUUCAUGUUUAGAUAGAGUUUGUUUUGUGAUUUUCAUUGAUAAUUUUGGCUAAACUGUUAAAUGGGGUUUAGAGUUUCUAGUUGUUUGUCACUUUAUUUGAUGAAUAUGUUGAAAGUUUCUUUGUUUCUAUGAGUUAAUAAAAAGUUUCUUUUGCAGGUACAACAUAUUGUUUGUGAAGUUUACAUUUUGAGGAUGCCAAUGGGUUAGUUUAGGAUUCUGGAAUCAGUUAUUUGGAUUUUGCUUCAGAUAUAAUUUUCUCUACUCCAGAAUUUGUGUUUGGCUUUGUGCUUUGUUAGUUCUCUGUUUCUAUCACAGUUUGGAUAAUGAGGAUGCUAAUGAGUUAGCUUUUUUAUGAUAUUCAUAUUCUAAUGGCUGGGGGCUUUGGAUGGGGGGUCUGUGUGGGGAGGGGUGUGUGUGUGUGUUUUGGGGGGCGGGGGCGGCGGUGUGUGUGAAAUGUGAAAAUAGAGAGAUAGAGAGUGAGAAUGACUGAGAACUAUAACCAAUUUUAAUAUAUCUAAGAGUAUUGUGUACAUACAAAAAUAAGAUAUACUAAUAUUAAUACUCUAAGAUAUUCUAAUGCUAAUACUCUCAGCAUAUAUACUGUGUUUGCCUAAAUUUUUGUUCUUCAUAGCUUUAGAAGCUCAAAAAUAGAUGAGUUCAGUAAGUUUGAGUCCAAGUUUGUAUUUUUAAUCGAAAUUUAAGACACAUGUAUGAGUUUACACACUAAAGACAUGUUUUUGACUUUGAUGCUGUAUGAAAGUUUGAUACUUUAGUUUCAUGGACCAUGGUAUUGGUUUCUAUAGCUUUAAAAGCUGAAAAGAUGAAUCGGUUCUCUAAAUUUGUUUUUGUGUUGGAAGCUUGGAAUUGAUUAGUUUACUUUUUCAUGGGUAGGUUCACUUUCUUAAUUGCUGGUUUGCUAUUUGGGGAUGCUUCUUGGUUGUUAAAAGGAUUUGGCUUAUUGCGAUUCUGCGUCAGGUAAUUACUUUUUGUUUACUUUUUUCUUUUGUUUGUGUAGUGAAACCUGUGUAAUAAGAUGUCUGAUAUGUUUGUCGAUAUAUAUAUGUAGACAUGUGUUUUAACUUUUCAGUCAUGUUUUGUUUAAAUAUGCCUCAUAUGUAGUCGAAAUAUGUGAAAUGACUCUUUUGUUUUAUUGAAAUAUAUCAUUUAAAAAACUGAAAAUGUGAUUUCUCUAAUGAUCCAUCAUGUUAGGACCAAAACUUUUAUGUCCAUCUAAUUAGUUAUUUAUUUUCGCUUAAGAUGAAGUAUUGUUUUGUAAAUGGACCUAUUGUUCUUGUGUAAUAAUUUUAAGAUGGAUAAAUCAUGGAUGCUUGAGGACAGAAGAUCACGGGCAUAUGAACUAGGGUUUGAAGGGUUCUUGAAGUUUGCAGCAGAAAAUGCUACAAAUGAGAAUAACAUUCCUUGUCCUUGUUGGGAUUGUGGAAAUACGAAAGACUUUGGACGUGGAAUUAUCAAAGGUCAUUUGUUUAGCUAUGGUAUCACACCAACCUAUCAGAAUUGGAUAUGGCAUGGAGAACCUUCAAAAUCAGCUUCCAAUUUGGACUCUCAUGUUGAUAGUACACAUAAACGUGGACCUGGAAAUACACAUGAAGCUGAAGCUGAUAGGGAAGAUGAUCAUGAACCUGUGAUUGACGUUGACUCAGGGUAUAUGGAUGGUAAUGCAUAUGAUGAUUCUAGAAUACACCAUAAUGAGUUUACCGAUUUCUUUGAGAAUGCAGAUCAGCUCUUGUUUCCUGGUUGUAAAAACUUUACCAACCUAUCUGCCCUUUUGGAAUGCUAUAAGUUGAAAGGGCAAUUUGGGAUCAGUGAUACUUGUUUCACUUCAAUGUUAAUUAUGAUUGGGAAAUUUCUACCUGAAGGUCAUGGGAUACCUUCUACUAAGCAUCAAGCAAAGAAGGCUUUGACCAUUUUGAUUAUGAGAAAAUCCAUGCAUGCAGUAAUGAUUAUAUCUUGUACAGGGGUGAUUAUAAGAAUGCAAAAACUUGCCCUACGUGUGAUAUCUCGAGGUACAAGCUAGGCAAGGAUAACAUAGUGAAGGAGGGGGUCCCUGCCAAGGUGUUGUGGUACUUUUCACCCAUUCCUAGAUUUCAAAAGAUGUUCAAAACCAGUGAGAUAGCUGAGAAUUUAAUUUGGCAUGCAAGUGAUAGAGAAAAUGACGGCCACAUGCGUCAUCCUGCUGAUUCUCCACAGUGGAAACUAGUAAACCAUAAGUGGCCUGAAUUCGGUAAAGAAGCAAGGAACUUGAGACUUGCUCUUUCAACAGAUGGUUUCAGUCCCCAUCGUGCACUCACUGGCUGACCUGUUGUGUUGGUCACUUACAAUCUUCCGCCUUGGUUAUGUAUGAAAAGGAAAUUCAUGAUGCUAACGUUGCUUAUUUCAGGUCCUAAACAACCUAGAAAUGAUAUAGAUGUUUACUUAGCACCUCUAAUUGAUGAUCUGAAAUCUCUUUGGGUUGGAAUUGACGGAGUGUAUGAUGCAUAUAGAUCGGAGUACUUCAAACUUAGGGCUGUUUUGUUAUGGACAAUCAAUGACUUUCUAGCUUACGGGAAUUCGUCGGGACAAAUUGUGAGAGGUUAUAAUGCAUGUCCUAUUUGUGGUGAAGAAACAGAUGGCCAUAGAUUGAAGCAUUGUCGCAAAAUUGUUAUUAUUGCAAAUCGAAGAUUCUUGUCUCGCCAUCAUCCAUAUCGGAGAAAGCUUACAGUAAAUGGAAGAGUGUAAUUGAGACCAGCUCCUGUGCCUUUGACUGGACAUCAAAUAUUGCAAAAGGUAGAAGGAUUUGAACCUAAUUUGGGGAAGACAACAGCUGAUCAUGAACAUGCAGAUGAUAGUGUCAAACGCUGCUGGAAGAAGAAAUCAAUUUUCUUUGAGCUCGAGUACUGGGCCGAACUUUAUGUGAGACACUGUCUUGAUGUUAUGCACAUCGAGAAGAACAUUUGUGAUAGUAUACUUGGUACUUUACUAGAUAUACCUGGGAAGACGAAAGAUGGAAUCGUAGCCCGUUUGGAUCUCGUCGACAUGGGCAUAAAGCUUAAUUUGAAACCCAAAGACGGGGAAAAGAAAUUGCCUCUAGCUUGGUGGAAUCUAACAAAGGAUGAGAAGAGAGUUGUAUGCCAUAGUUUGUUUGGCAUGAAGGUUCCUGAAGGUUAUUGUUCAAACAUAAGAAGUCUGGUCUCCUUACAAGAUUUGCGACUUCUUAACAUGAAAUCACACGAUUGUCAUGCCUUAAUGCAAGAAUUGCUUCCAAUUGCUAUACGUUCAGUUUUGCCUAAACAAUUGAGGUAUGCAAUCACCAGAUUAUGUUUCUUCGUUAAUGCCAUAUGUGAUAAGGUGGUGGAUGUUUCUAAGCUGGAUAAGUUACAAGAGGAUGUAGUGAUUACAAUAUGUCAACUUGAGAUGUACUUUCCUCCUAGUUUCUUUGAUACUAUGGUACAUCUUGUUGUACAUCUUGUUAGAGAAGUUCGACAAUGUGGACCGGUCUGUUUUAGAUGGAUGUAUCCUUUCGAAAGGUUUAUGAAAGUGCUAAAGGAUUAUGUACAAAAUCACAACAAACUAGAGGGUUGCAUGGCAAAGUGCUAUAUUGCUUUAGAGCACUGCUCAAAAUAUUUAUCUGAUCCUAGUACGGUUGGAAUCCCUUCAACAGAAAAGAAUGACAUAUCACAGCCUACUUCAGCAGCCUUUAUAGAAUCAGUUUCUGAUGUCCUAUUCAACCAGGCCCAUCUUACUGUAUUGGCAAAUACAAUUGAAGUUCAGCCAUAUAUUGAGUAAGUGAAAUGCUUCUCAUAAUUUAGUUAUUAUCUCUAUUUGUUUCAUUGUUUUCAUUAUGAAUCCAAUUGUAAUGUAUGGUAUGAACUUUAUUUCAGUGAACAUAUGGAAUAUUUGAAGGUGACUUAUCCGUCAUUCAAAAAGAGAGAUAGAUGGUUACAGGAGAAGCAUACGACAACCUUCGCUAAAUGGUUCCAAGAGCGUGUAAGGGCUGAUUCUUUUUUUUUCUUUUUUUUUNUUUUUCCUUUUUGACUAAAUUUAGUUUAAAUUUUUAAUUAGUUUUAAAGUGGUAUUACAAAGUAAUGCUUAUUUUUUAGUUACUUUGUUUUUUUUUUAUUUUUUUUUUUUUUAAUUUUUUUUUUUUUUUUUUUUUUUUUUUUUUUUUUUACUACAACUUGAAGAUUGCGUAUGAGCUCGGGCGUGAGAAUCAUGGCAUAUCAGACACCUUAAGAUGGUUGGCUGACAAACCAAACAAACAUGUACUUAAAUAUCACGGGUACAGAGUCAAUGGGGUUCAGUUUCACACUAAGGCACGUGAUAAUGUGCGAUCUGUACAGAAUAGUGGAGUGAGACUAUUUGCAAAGGCUAUGCAAGUUGCUGGUCGAAAAGACAAUAACCCUUUUGUUUCAGACAUGUGGCUCUAUGGUGUCAUUCAGGAUAUCUGGGUUCUUGACUAUACUAAGUUUACGGUUCCUGUUUUCAAGUGUGAUUGGGUUGCGGAUAGUGGCAUUAAAGUGGAUGAAUUAGGAUUUACUCUAGUUAACUUGAGUAAGGUUGGUCAUAAGCGUGAUCAGUUCGUUGUUGCUGAUCAAGCCAAACAAAUAUUUUAUGUUGAAGAUCCUUUGGAUUCUAGAUGGUCUGUUGUAGUAUUGACUCCUGAUCGAGAUUAAUUUUGGUGCAAUGAAACAUAUUAAUUUAACUAAUCGACUUGUGAUUCAUUUUAAUGCAGUUGGCAUUUGUGCUUGGUCCAGAAAGUAAAAGACUAGUGUUAUCAUCGGCAGCAUGUAAAUGGAGAGAAGUCAAGUCUAGAUUGACGAGUCAAUAUAUUCUUCCCUUUAAAGAAGACAGGGAACUCUUAUCCUCUCCCCCUGAGGAGUACAACUUCAUUGAGCUAGGAGACUGGAAAGCAUUUGUAUCUUCUAGGUUAACUGAGGAUUGGGAGGUAAGUUAAAUGUUCUUGUAGUGUCAAUGUAGAUAAUGGUCGAUUUCAAUUCUUGGCACAUUAAUUGCAUAUUUGGUGCAUGUCUCUUUGUAGAUUCUACAUAAUGACAUUGUACGAGUAUCCUCAUCGUAUGUCACGGUUAGGAUACGCAGGCUUAGAAGAUGAAUUGGUUAGUAUGCUUUGUUUUUUUUUUUUUCUUCUUUUUUUCCUUUGCAAAGAGUUGGUUAGUACACUUGUAGUAAAAUGAGUGUAUCAAUAUGAUUAUCAUUAAAAACAAAAGUUACUGAAUGUAUUCUUUUUUCUUUUAAGUUGAAAACAAUGGUUCCUAAAGAUAUCGAUCGUGCUACACUGUGGGAGAAAGCGCGUCAGGAUAAAUCUGGAAAUAUCCCAGAUGGAAAGGCCAAAUAAUUGGCAGAUAGAAUUGUAAGUUAAAAACUUUUUACUUUCUCUUUUUAGAUAAAAUAGUACCAUUUGGACAAUUUAAGUUACUGUAUAUUUCACAUGAAUUUCAAAUUAAGGAGUGAUAUCUUAUUUAUUGGUUAGCACUUUGUCAUAUUCUCAAAUAGUAAACCUAUUGGUAUUUAAUCUGUGGUUUUUCAAUUACCACUACAGUUGAGUUGUUUUCAUUGCUGUUGUGUAUCUUGAUUUGAUAGAGUCGAGUAGUUUUCCUUUUCAAAAUUUGUUAUCUACUUAUUUGUUGUUGAUGUUCAGGAUGAAUUAAAGAAACAAGUGAGUGAUGGGAUGUUGAAAGUAGAAGGUAGUAAUGAUGUGUUGAGCAUGGCAUUGGAAACAUCUGAGCAUGGCGGAAGAGUUAGAGGAGUGGGAGGUUAUGUGACUCCAACUGCUUAUUUCAACCAACCUAGACUCCGGAGAGAGAACGUUGAGGAGGUUGUUAGAGAGAGUGUUAAAAAGAUACUUGACAAAGAGAGAAAAUUGUGACAGAUCUGAAUAAAUUUUGGGCGGAAAGGUUUACAGACUUGGAGGCAGCCCUAAAGUCAAACUCUCAUCAAAAUGGCCCAAUUCCUUCCCAGGUUCAACAUACUCACCAAAUUGUUGGGAAUGCAUUUGAGAGGGCCAGUUCCUCAUCUGCCAAGGGGGACAACAUGGAAGAUCUUGAAAAGCAGUUUGUCCAUGAGCAAGACAAUGGAGAAGAUAAAAGGCAAAAUUCAAAGGUAUAUAUUGAAUACCAUAACUAGUUCAACUAAUUAAGUAGACUUUAAGACUUGGUAGGAGCUGAUCUUUAGAAUUAUUAUGUGUUUGUUUUGUUCUUGAAGGGAAAACCAUGCAAGUUAGCUGUUGACUUGGUUGAUAAUAUAGUUGCAUGUGGUACCGUGCUAGAAGUUGAUUCAACCAACCCAACCAUUCAUGGUGUUCCUUUAGGCAAAGGCAAUGAGCGGGUUGUGAUUGAUAUAGUUAUAAAUGUUGAAGCAUUAAUGCCUUUCCCUAUUAAAGACGAUGACAUAUUCACUGUAGGCCAAGCUGUGGGUUAUGUGAUGGCUUAACCUAAACAUCUAGUCAUAUUAGCAGGACAUGAGGUGAUUAAACACUUUUACAUUUUUUUUUUUUUUUGAAAAUAUAUAUGGAGGUUUCAUUAUUAAUAGGAAUUAUUGAUCUCUUUGGUAUUGUUGUAGAAUCCUAAAAAGCUUAAGCAUACUGUUGAAAAAAUCGUUGAAGCACCACAGUUGGACAUUAAUGGAAUGCUAAAGUCAUUGAAAGUUUUAUGCCGUUAUGCACAAAAUAUGAUCAAGAUGAAUGGGAAAUGCAUUAUGUUUGAUAUGGAAGAGAAAGUGUUUGGAUCUUCUCGACCCACUCACAUCUUGAAUGAAGAUAUUUUAUAGCUUGCAGGCAUGGAGAAAUUAUCAGCCACUUGCAUAGUAAUUUAUAUGAGGUGAUAUGUACAUUCCAAAAUAUAUAUACAUAUAAUAUAUAUUUAUGUGUGUGUAGAAUAUAAUUUAGCAUACAUGUUCAUCUUUUAUUUUGUAAUAUGUCUGUAGAUAAUUUUAUUUGAAUUUGAAACAUCAUAGGUACUUAUACACUGUGCUUGAAGUGUUAGACAUGAUAGACUCUUUUACUUUUGUGGAUCCUGCUGUAAUCUCUGCUCCAUGGUGUGGGACAACCUUUGUAAGAUCUCGUAAGUUAGCUGACCGAUUCAAAGGAGCACAAAAUGAUCAGAUGUUCUUUAUCCCUUACAACUCUGGGUAAGAAAAAGUAAACAUGCUUUAUUUACUAGUAAUACUAAUUAUGAAGUUCAUUACGAUACAUUAUUUUGUUAUGCAGUGAUCAUUGGAUGUUAACGAUUGUCCAUCCGGUCAAAGAGAUGGUCUACUUUGUUAACUCAUUUUAUUAGAGCAUAACAGACAGUGAAUGGAAACAUGUUGUGAAUGAGUAAGUCAUUUCUAACUUCACAUUUAAAAUUUAUAUAUUGUCUUCACCUUAAAGUUAUAUCUUACUUACCACUUCUAAUAGUUUACAUUAAUUUAUUGAUCUAACCAGUGAGGUUCUGUUAUUAAAAAUUGUAGCUUUGGUAUGACUACUGGUUAUUUUGAUUUUGAAGAUAUAUAUUGAAAAUUGAGACCUUAGCUUGUUGUGAGCCUUAGCUAAAUUCGAAGUUAUUGCAUGAACUUCUUAUCCUACAUCUCAUUAAAUGAGCAUGUAUGAUUCAUAUUUGUCAGUUUUUUUUUUUUUUUUGAAGUGCCAUUAAUAUAUUCAAUCGGCAAAGGAAUAAGCAAGGACGUAAAACUCCACCAUGGAAAAUCCUGAUGGUAUGUUUAAAUUUAGAAUAUACCUUUCUAUGAAAUGAAAUUCAGAUAUGUUGGUUUCAGUGUUAAUAAUUUAUUGUUACUCAUCCUCUAGGGUGCUCCAAAGCAACCAACAAACACAGAAUGUGGCUAUUAUGUCAUGCGCGUUAUGAGGGACUUAAUAUAUGGAAAUAUUCAAGAUCUAUUAGCUAUGGUAUGUUCAUUAUUUAAGUUGUUCAGAGUUGAAAAUUGUGUCUAUAAAUAUUAGCUCAAACCCAAUGAUUUAUGCAGUAGCUAGCUUCAAACGUUUCUGUGAUGGAUCUUGUUUUGUUUUGGUUUCAUUUGCUUUGAAGGUUUCCAGCUAUGAAUCUCAUGACAGUAGUUCUUGUACAGUUCAUGUUUUUUGGGAUUUUAUUUCUAAAACUUGCAUAAGCACAAUGAUGACUACUGCAUAUGCAUUUUAAUAAUCCAUUAUAUAUUCAUUUGUCUUUCUCUUGUUUAUUUCUUAGUGGGAAGAAGAUGUGGAGACCACAUAUCUUCAAGAGGAAAUCGAUGAAGUCCGUGAUGAAUGGGCGGAAUUUGUUAGCGAUGAGUACCUUUAGACUUUUGCAAUGUGGAUCAUCAGAGAAGAAGAAAAAACUUCUGGUUAAUUUAUUGGCCGUGUUAUGCUCUCUUCAUUCAAGUCAGAUUCAGAUAGUUUUCUUUGGUUUAACUAAGUGUCUAGUACUGAACUUCUUUGAUUUGUAGCAAGGUUUACCUUUUUCCUUUAUGACAGCUAGUGUUAAUACAUAACCAAAACACUUAGCAAUGCUGAGAAUGUGACAUGUCUACCCAGUCGUCGGAGAUCAUUCCGGCCAAGAUGCCAUGGACAAGAGCUCUAUGCACACCCAAAGAUCGGAGCCACAACAACAAUGUACAUGCCAGACCUAGUUGGCAACUGCUAAACACCCUGAAAAGGGAGGGGACUGAACAAUACCACGAAACAGUCCCACAUUGGAAACUAAUGACAAAACCCCGAUACUAGCCUAUAAAACAGGCACAAAUCCCCAAAAGAGGUAAGUUCUCUAUUCCUCCCAUACUCCAGUACUAUACAAGUAGCAAUCAAACGCUGACUUAAGCAUCGGAGAGUCGAAGACUGGGCCACCCCAGUCCCCGACUCCUGAUGUAUUGUUGCUUGUGCAGUUACAUGACUUGGAGCAAAGGAUUCGACCUCCCGUCCCUUGAACUCGGGAGAGGUAGAAACAAUUGGCGCUAGAAGGAGGGGUCCCUUUUGUGGAACUCCCAUUUAACUUAACAGGAUGGUGGAAAUUGUGGAUGACCCAAACGAACUCGGGACUCAGAUAGAAAAAAAGCUUUUCCAAUCUAGAGACACAUCCCAUAAUCAAACUACCACUACUGCGGCCCCCAUUAACCACCCCGAUGCCGUCACGGCCAUUGAAAUUUUGAAAAAAGACUUCCACGCGUUCCGAGAGCAAGCAGCUAAGGAAAGAGCGGAAGCUGAAGCGUGGCAGGUUCGUAUCGCCGAACUGGAAAAAGAACAAUUCCUACUACGCGCCACUCUAGAUCACCGCAACAACUAUAAUGAAAGUCUGGAUCGGGUAGCAAAGGUCACUCCCACCCCGGACGCCACCCUGACAUCUCUUUUUCCUAGCCAAGGACAAAAUAGUUCCGUGAUCCCAGGAGGCCCUAACCAAAUUAUUUAUGUCACUCAUCCACUCAUCCACUCACCCACCAGUCCUUUCCACUCCCAGCCCCUCAACCAUCCACAAUCAAUAACGAAUCCAUUCCCCUGAUAAACCAGCCUGAGCCAUCUGUCCCACCCAUCCCUAAUCUCAACUCUACUAACACUGCUACCCCACCUUUUGUCACAUCUCGACCCUUAAAUUUUUACUUUAUUUAUUAGCUUGGUUAUAAUAAGAAUUUUACCGUCUCCUUCAUUGAGGUUAUAGUUGAAUUGGUCCCUAGAGGGGUUUGGGGACGGUUAUUUUUGGAGGAUUAUUCGUAGCAGAAAAUAUUAACGACGGUAAAAAUGGUAAACUUUUAGCUAGUAAAAGGUAAUUUUUAUUAGGGUAUUAUUUUUGGGGUGUAAAUUUUGGAGUUGGGUUUUGUUUUAAAGGGUUGGACCGGUUUGGUGGAGGCCCAAACCUCAUUUCUUCUCUCUCUCUCUUCUUCUCUCCCUCCCGACUCACUCCCUCUCCCGCUGUCGGAUCUUCUCGCCGUCCGUCCGGCCACCAUCCACCGCCGCUCCGGUCCCGUUCGGUCAGCCUUUAACCCAGCUACCUCCUUGGACCGGUGACAGCCCCCUUAGCGCCGCCGUGAGAGAGAAACGACUCCCGGAAACGCUAGCUGUCGUGUUGGUUUUCUCGUCGGAACUUCCUCCUCCGGCCACCAAUCCGAGCAAGCCUUAUAUGGUUUUGAAGGUUUCCAACCCAGUUGCCUUGCCGUAGAAGGACUCGGUCCAGUUUGCUUCAGGUGAGGAGAACCGGUGAGUGGAAGCUCUAGGGCUUUUUGUGUUGUUUUUGCUCGAUUUCCUUAGUUAGGUUUGAAAUUGAUGUUUGUGCUAGUUAGGAAAGUUGUAGAGGGGGUUAAGAGGAAGAUGCUGUCAAAAUUUCAUUGGCAUUGGAGGUCGCCGGAGUCGGCCUCCGGCCGCCGCUGUUUGGGAGAUUUUAAUGGUUUUAGAUGUGGAAUAUUAAGGGGAGUUUAUUGAUGUAAUUAUGGAAUUUUUGGAGGAGUUUUGGUUAGGUUUGUGAAUUUCCGAAGUUUGGUAUUUUUGGCGGUUAAUUAAUGUAGAAUCCAUCCGUUGGAUUAAAGUUGUUUAAACUGUGAGAAGGUGUAGUUACGACUGCUGGUUCUAGGGUUGAGGUGUGGACCAUUUCGAAAUUAGGCAGUGAUGAGCAUGUUUAGGGCUCUCGGUUAAUUUUUGCCUAUUUUGUGUAAAUAUUGGAAUUUCAGCUGGGAAAUUAAUAUUAUAUUUGGAACAGGUCGUGAGGAGGCUCGAGUAGACGAGGCCCCAGAUCGACAUCAGGCUUAGGCCUAAUUUGUGAGUGGACUUUUGUUUUAAAUAAUGUGCAUGCGAAAUAAUUUAUGUUGUUUGAGAAUAACCGAAAUUGAGAAUUUCGGUGAGUAUAUAUAUAUAUAUAUCCAUAUUUGGAUGAUUAUGAGAAUAAUAUGUAUAUGAAAGAAUGCUAGCUAGCUAGCUAUACGUGUUUUUCCACCAUACUGAGGUAAAAUUCCAUUAUGGUGCGACGUGAGCGUUAGACGCAAUCGUCGUAGCCCUAUAUAAAUAUAAUAAUUUAUAUAGGGGAUAUGCGCUUAUAUAUUUAUACACCGUCUUUUCCACCAUAAUGAGGUAAAAUGCCAUUAUGGUGCGACGUGAGCGUUAGACACAAGCGUCGUAGCCUUGUGUGAAUUUUCUGUUUGUCUUUGUUGUUUCAAGAAAAUUCAUACAAGGGAUAUGACGAGUGUAAUACUUACAUAUUUUAUUUUAGCCUGAGAUGCUCUAUUUUUAUGAAGUGUUGGUGACUAGCGCGGCUAGUCACGUUUCGGUAAAUUCGGUAAAUUUUUAAAAGCUUUUGAGCUUGUUGCAUGCCAUUAAUUGUUUUUCCACAAAAGUUAAAUCGGGAAAGCAUAAAAAUUUAUUUGUUUUUAAAUUUAUUUUUGUCCACUCACUCUAACGGUUUCAAAUGUCUUCCCUUGGGCCAUUCUUUUUAAAAAUGCCCAGUCUGCAGAGUUCUGGUUGGAUCUAGUAGGAGGCGAGACAUAGUCACCCGCAUUUCCACCACCUUUCAUCAGUAGGUUAUCUAUUUAACCUACCAGUGUUUUUCUUGCUUCCUCUAGUGUCUAGUAGCUCUGAUUUUCUCUUGGGAAUAUUGUAUGACAUUAUUUCGGUUGUGGGCGAAGACUUGAUUACAUUUAGAAUAUUUCAAGGAAGAUGUAUGCUAUUUUAGCGGGAUAAUUAUGUGAUGAUAUGGAAGUUGAUCUUUUUAUUGUUAUUGGUAGUGGUUGUAUUUGGGGAGCACGUAGGCUCCAGAAGUUAAGGUUGGCUUGAAAAUUUUUAGGAGUGUUUGCAGGUUUUUGUUAGGAAGGGUUGUCCAUUUUCAAGGGAGCGAGGUUAUGCCGAAUUUUCGGUAAUAAGUUCCUUGGAGGUGGUCUCCGCAGGAUUUACUCCGGGUUUUAGGGUAAAAUUCGGGGUGGGUUCUGACACCUCUCACAUGUAAACUCAACUUCUCCUCUAGCUCAGCAAUUCUGUCACUCAGUUGGCCUCGCGAAUUGAAGGUGUUGAGAGUCGCGGGAGCCAGCGACCUCUAUUCUCGGGAUAUGGACAUCGCCCAAGCCCCUUUACGCCACGAGUACAAAUGGAAAAGAGGCCACCCGAGGCCAAGCCUUUCGAGGUGGACAAAUAUCAGGGCACCAGGGACCCCCAUCUUCACCUUGAAACAUUCCUCUCGUUAUGCAGUUCCACUCGGUACACAGAUGCCAUGGCCUGUCAUGCCUUCCAAGAAACCCUCUCAGAUGAGGCGCUUAGUUGGUUCCUUAACUUGCCUCCCAACUCCAUUGACAAUUUUGACCAGCUCUCGGAACACUUCCUCAACCGAUUCAUACUCCAUGCCAGCAUUUACCGCAGUGUGGAUGCCUUGUUCCACAUCAAGCAAAAAGAGGGUGAAGAACUCCAUGAGUUACUGUCCCGGUGGCAAUCAGCCAUGGCACGCUAUCACAACUUGGAGCCCCGAAUCGCUGAACAAGCUUUUCGCCAAGCCUUGCUUCCCGGUAGCUUCCUCAUGGAGAUUAAUAGGAACCCUCAAGGGUCAUACGAUGCCUUGAUAGACCUUACUGUCCGCUGGGCACGUGCCGAGUUUGCCACAUUUGGACAUUCUAACCCCACCACUAUAUUAGCACUCCCAGCCCCACCCCCCAAAGCAACAAACCCAACAAAAGUAUGACCAUUAUGACCAAGGGCAAGACAAAGGCAAGCAACAUCACAGCUCCCAUGAUAACAACCAGGGGAGCGGUUCAGACCGUCGCCACAGUGGGCAGCGGGGACGGGACCAUCCUUAUCGGUCCCGGGAGCCGAGCCUCCAACAACAGCAACGUUGCUCCUCCCCACCACCUCGUUACAAGGUCCACACAGCCUUAACCACUACAUAUGACGAUAUAUGGGCCAAGCACAAAGAUCUCAUUCCCCUGCCACUUAAGAGCAAGUAUCCCAAAAAGCCCCGGCGUGCAACAGGGAACAAGUAUUGUGCUUAUCAUGAUGACAACGGCCACACCACUGAGAUGUGCCACGGCCUCCGCAAUGCCAUAGAGCACUUGAUUCGUAAUGGCCAACUCCAUCAGUAUUGCACUCCCGCCACGGGAGCUAACGCCAUUGAAGUUCACGGUCAGAUCUUAACCAUACAUGGCGGCGCCCUGCGACUCCCUCCUCGUCAGCCUUUUGCAAAAGGGCAUUGUACGAACCAUUUGGAGAUUCUUUAAAUACAAAGAGGUGUCACCACCACCCCAUCAACAUGGGACCAGGUGUCAUUUUACAAGAAGGAAGAUACGAUCAGUUGCCACCACAAUGAACCCUUCAUAAUCAAUGUCUAGGUGGAUCACUAUAGGUGUCAUAGGGCCCUCGUGGACACAGGAGUUGCGGUCAGUGUGAUGUUUGCUGAUUGUCAUAGAGGACUCCGGCAUGACCGAGCUAAGUUAUAUAACAACCAUGAUCCCCUUGUCAACUUCUCAGGAGAGAUUGUGCAGCCCUUAGGCUCGUACCGCUUGAUUGUGUCAGUAUGGACUAGUCCUUGCCAUGCUUCCAUCACAGCACGUUUUCUCAUAGUUGAUUGCCCCUCAUCUUACAACCUCAUCCUGGGUCGUGACAUCCUGUAGGGACUGCAAUGUUUCAUUGCAGGUCACAUGCUACUCAUGAAGGUGCCUACUCCAGGAGGCAUACUCAUAAUCCAAGGGGAUAGAGCCGCCAUUGAACAUUGCCAUCUUAAUGCCAUCCAACAGGGACGUAGCGCCUAUGAGAUGUUGCCACUUAGCCCCUCGGAACCCAUUGAUGACCCCAGGGAUGACCCUGAAGGGAAAGACAAGAAGCAAGCCCUGAGACCUAACCUGGGAGAGGACACAGAAUGGGUAUCCCUGUCACCCAGUGCUCCCGAAAGGAAGGUCCACAUCGGCACGAGCCUUAACCCGGAACUCUGCAACAAGCUCAUUGCCUUCCUCCAGGAUAUGCAAGCAGUCUUUGCUUGGUCCUAUGCCGGCAUGCCAGGCAUCUCCCCUGAUGUCAUCACGCACAAACUUAAAGUCCUCAAGGACUAUCCCCCUGUCAAGCAAAAACGGUGUGCCUUUCACCCGGAGAAGUAUCGAGCCAUCCAGGCCGAGGUCCAGCGAUUAAAAGAAAUCAAAUUCAUACGUGAGGUCUCAUACCCAACAUGGGUUUCCAAUGUAGUCAUGGUCCCCAAGCCUAAUGGCAAGUGGCGAAUGUGUGUCGAUUACAUUAACCUCAACAAGGCAUGCCCCAUGGACAGCUUCCCUUUGGCACAAAUUGACCAGCUAGUUGAUUCCAUAACUGGCUUCAAGAUGCUCAGCUUUCUGGAUGCCUACACGGGAUAUAACCAAAUCAAAAUGCACCCCACAGAUCAAGAACACACCACUUUUGUCACGGACAAGGGACUGUAUUGUUACAAGGUCAUGCCCUUUAGCCUCAAGAAUGCGGGAGCAACUUAUCAGAGGCUGGUCAAUGCCAUGUUUGAAGAAGAAAUUAGGGAAGUGAUGGAGGUCUACGUGGAUGACAUGCUGGUCAAAAGCAAGGCAGUUGACGACCACAUUGCCAACCUUGACAAAGUCUUCACUAAGCUCCUGGCUCACGAGAUGCGCCUCAACCCCCAAAAGUGUAUUUUGGUUGUUAGUGGCGGAAAGUUUUUGGGUUUCAUGGUCAAUGAAAGAGGCAUUGAAGCUAACCCAUAAAAAGUACAAGCCAUACUUGACAUGACGAUCCCAAGGACUCGGAACGAGGUCCAAUGCCUCACGGGACGCUUGGUAGCCUUGGCUCGUUUCAUCUCCCGCCUCACAGACAAAUGCAACCCAUUCUUCCAACUACUAAAAACCCAAUACAAGGAGAAUGUGGCAUGGGGCCCGGAACAUGACGAUGCCUUCAACAAUAUCAAAGCCUACCUUGCAACAGUCCCUCUUCUUUUCAAGCCUGUCCCGGGAGAAGUACUUUACUUGUAUUUGGCUGUUUCCGCUACUCUGAUAUUAAAAAACUGGCUCUAGCCCUCAUCAUCGCAGCCAGAAAACUUGGACAAUAUUUCCAAGCUCACACUAUCCAUGUCCUAACCAAUCACCCUUUGCGGCAAAUACUCCAAAAGCCUGAAACUUCAGGGGGCAUGGUAAAAUGGGCAAUCGAAUUGGGGGAAUUUGACCUACAUUCCAAACCGAGAACAGCCAUAAAAGGACAGGCUGCCGCGGAUUUCAUUGCUGAGUUCAUCCCCAUGAACCCAGACAAUCCAGACCCGGAAGCCCUCCCCCGGGACGCCAUCUAGGAACUCCACAUUGAUGGAUCUUCCAACAACAGACUCAGUGGAGCAAGGAUAAUAAUCACAGACGCAAAGGGGAAUUCGUACGAAUAUGCUCUCCAGUUUGAAUUCAAAGCAUCCAACAACAUAGCUGAAUAUAAGGCUUUCAUAGCCGGCAUCCAGCUUUGUCGAGAACUCGGAACCCUGCACAUCCACAUAUUCAGUGAUUCUCAGCUUGUGGUCAAUCAAGUGGCAAGAGACUUCAAGGCCAACCAGAACAACCUGGGAUCGUACAAAAGUCUAGCUGGUGCCCUCCUACAACACUUCACAUCAUACAAACUCACACAAAUCCCAAGGGCCAAAAACUCCAAGGCAGAUGCUCUUGCGAGACUCGCCACAACCCCUCCCGAGUCCACGCCACCAGAUGUGCACAUAGAAAUCGUGGAUGGACCCAUAUGUGGCCUUCCUUUCUAAUGGUACCUUGCCCUAGGACAAACACGAGGCACAGCGGUUGCGCCACAAAGCUUCACUCUACCUGCUUAGAGGCGGGAAGCUAUACCGCCGUGGUCAGUCGUGUCCCCUUUUAAGGUGCUUGCCUACAACAGAAUGGCACAAGGUGUUGAAAUCACUCCAUAGUGGUGUCUGUGGAAACCAUGCGGGAGCUCGGAACCUCAUGUCCAAAGCACUAACAACUGGAUACUAUUGGCCAACAUUAGAACAAGAUGCAAAGGCAGUUGUCCAAGCAUGUCUUCACUGCCACAAAUUUGUAAAUUUUGCCCACCAUCCUCCUGUUCCAUUAUCUGUCAUCAUUUCCCCAGUCCCUUACAGCCAGUGGGGACUCGACCUCGUGGGACGGCUACCCAUAGCUCUGGGACAAUUCAAAUUUGCAAUUGUCAUUGUGGACUAUAACACGAAGUGGAUAGAGGCAGAACCCCUUGUCACAAUCACAACUGAAAAGGUGAUAAACUUUCUGUGGCACAAUUUAUACUGCCGGUUUGGGGUACCGCAGGCCAUCAUCACAAAUAAUGGAACACAAUUUGACAAUAACACAUUCAGAGAAUUCCUUUCUAAGCAAGGCACGGCAAUCUUCUAUGCCUCCCCAGCACACCCUCAGACUAAUGGCCAAGUGGAAGCCAUAAACAAGCUCAUUAAGCAAAACCUGAAGAAACGCCUAGAAGAUGCUAAAGGGUUAUGGGCGGCCAAGCUCCCAGAAGUCCUCUGGACACUUCGUACCACCCCAACAACAGCUACAAGUGAAUCCCCAUACCUCUUGUUCUAUGGCACCGAGGCGGUGAUCCCUAUGGAAAUGGAGGUCCCGAGUGAACGUGUCACAACAUACGAUCCCGAGACAAACGCCACGGGACUACGACUCAACAUGAACCUCCUCGAGGAACGCCGGGACAAAGCACAUCUCAGGAAUGUCAACUACAAACAAAAAGUUGCCCGACACUACAACAAGAAAGUUGUUUCCCAUCCUCUAAAGGUGGGUGACUAGGUCAUGAAAGAGGUCAUCCCUUACCCCACUGGACUCAAAGCAAAGUGGGAAGGCCCACUAGAGAUAGUCAAUGCCCCGGGACCAGCUACAUUCUAUCUCCGCGACACUGAUGGCCGAGUUCUACCUCGCCCCUAGAAUGCUCGACACCUCCACCUCUACCCUGUUUAAAUUAUUAGCACUCCAAAGCCAACAUGGCAGCUAGCACUUCAUUACUUGUGUACUUUAACCCGGUAGCGGCCCAAAUCAAAUGUACACCUUGCCCAUCAGCGGCCUAUCCUAAAUGAAGAUGCUACAUUUUCUCUUUUUUAACAUACCGUCCCAAGAACACGGCACUAAAUAACAACACAAGAUACACCACGAAUAAAGGCAUUUUAAGGUAAAAAUGUCAACCUGGACUCCCAGGCAAUCCAUAUAUAACUUGUUUAAAUGGCUAACCACGCCACCAAUAUUGUUUCACAAGAAAACAAGAAACUGAAAACUACUAGGAACAACAAAAAAAAAAAAAAAAAAAACAACUAACUUUUCCCGGAACGAACGCCCACUUGACUUGUUCACGCUCUCGCCACUCUUCAACCUGCUACCACGCCCACGGCUCUGGCUGAUGUUCACUGAAACCCUCUGACCAUAAGCAUGUUUAGAACAGUCACGAGAUAUCGGGGGAGGCCUCACGGAGACAUUAGGUCGCACCAGAGAGCUCACCGGUGGCACCUCAGUGACACGGGACUUGCUCGCUAGGAUCUUUUGCACUUCAGUACGAGGUGGCGCCACAGGCCCCAGUGCUUGAAGGAUAGAGGGUUCAACAACAGACGACGCAACCUGUGACACUGCCACUUGAGCGGAAGGGGAUCCCUCGGGACGUAGAGCCCUUAGGGGAGAAACAACCAUAGCAAACGGCCGAGGCGUGCCCACAGCCGGAAUUUCUUUGGGCACCGCAGAGGAGGUGGCACGCCAGGUCUCAUGCUGCUUUGCCAACGACCGCGAGAUCUCGGCUUGCUUCCUCUGUUCCGGAGUCAUAUGUUCCCAAGCCUUCCUCGCUGCAUCCCUCUCGGCAUAAAACUUGCGCAAAGUGAUACGAGCACAAACUGCUAUGUUUAUAAUGUGUUUCCUGCCCCAUUUAACUAUGUUAUUCUUAUAAUAAUGCCAUUUCUAACAUGUUUUGUGAGUAUGAAGGUAAAAGAGCAGAAAAGCAUAAAAGAAAGCUAAAACAGGCAAUUUAAGAAAAUUCCUAAUCAAAGGAGGAUUCUUGGUGCAACAAGGAGUCUCAUUAAGUCGCAAAAUUUGAGGAUAAGUCGUUUCGGAAACUUUCCUGUUUUGAAAAGGGAAACUUGCCUAUUUCAUUUUAAGAAACUUCCUUAUUUUGAUUUAGGAAACUUACUAUUUCUAAAUCUUUCCUAUUCUGACUUUCCUACAAUAUUUAAGAAACUUUCUUUUCUGAUGACAGGGAAACCAUUUGAAGUCAGGAAACCUAAUCCAACUCGGAAUAGGAAAUCCCCUUAAUUUCUGAUUUAUAUUAACACAUAAAUCCUUUGAUUAUUGCAGAAUUCAUCCUCCUCCUUUUAUACACGUUCACAGAUUCCUAUUCCGAGUUGGAUUAGGUUUCCCUGUCAUCAGAAAAGAAAGUUUCCCAAAUAUUUUAGGAAAGUCAGAAUAGGAAAGAUUCAAAAAUAGUAAGUUUUUACUAAAUCAAAAUAAGAAAGUUUCUUAAAAUGAAAUAGGCAAGUUUCCCUUUUCAAAACAGGAAAGUUUCCUAAAUGACUUAUCCUCAGAUUUUGCGACUUAAUGAGACUCCUUGCUGCAUCAGAAAUCCUCCUUUGAUUAGGAUUUUUCUUACAAAACAUGUUAGAAAUGGCAUCAUUACAAGAAUAACAUAGCUAAAUGGGGCAGGAAACACAUUAUAAACAUAGCACUUUGUGCUCAUAUCAAAUUCCCCCACACUUAGCUUUUGCUAGUCCCAUAGCAAAACCAAAACAACAAGACUCAAAAACAAAUACAACAAAUAACGAACAAACUCUACUGCCCUUAACUAUUGUCUCAGAUUCUCCAAUCUCAUGGCAUCCAAAUUAGAACUUAAUCAAGAAUUAUUCCAUGAAGUUUCAGAAGCUAAUUGCCAUGCAUAAAUCACAUAUUUACAUGUAGGACAUGGAAGAACAGUGGUGAUGGUUAAGCUUAGCAUGUUUCAGACAAAUAUGAUUCAAUCUAACAAGGUAUGCACUCAUUUUUCACACAGAUUUUCUGGCUAAGUCACUGAAAACUAUGCAAGAGAAAGUAUUUUGAGGCAUUCAAAAAGCUUGCAUUUAUAUGAACAAAAAGCACAUGUGAAACAGAUAUAAAACCUCAAGAAAGAAUUAAUUACUCACACAAAUGAACCAUACCAUGGGCUCAACUCUUGGGACAAACUCCACAGAUCAAAAUUUACUCAUCUUUAAGAUCAAAAGGAACUUUAGAAGGUGUUAUUGGGGCUGGGCUAAGGGUAUGAAUUUAAGAGCAAGUGUUGCAAAAUUCCUAAGGACCUAGCAGAGCAUUAAACAUGCCUUAUGUCGCCAAAUCAAGGGCCAUAUACCAUCUUGUUGGGCCCUUCGUCAUUCUAACCACCUUACAACAUCAUUAAACUGAACAAAGGCUAAAUAAUUUUGUUUUUAGGCCUUCCAUUUACAACAAAAACUCUCAUUUCACAACAUAAAGAAAAUGUUCGGAUUUCUUCUUUUUCUGCAGAAAUUUAAUUCUUUUCUUUUUUUACACAAGGACAAGUCAUUUACCCCACACUUGUUUCUGAUCAUCAGUUCCACAAAAUUCUUCACAAUAUGCUCUACUAGGCCCAAAGGACAAGGGUAGAGAUAUCACUGUACUAAGCUCAAGGUAAAAAUUUCAUGGGUGAUGAAAGAAAAAGCUCAAUGUAGGCUCAAAGGGGGUUCAACUAAGGGGUGUGCAGCGCACACAAAUAAGGACAUAGGCUUGUUUAGCAAUGGUGUUCAUCCUAAAAAGUUUCAUUUAUCCUUUCAAAAAUCAGAGCGUUUUAUGAUAAAAAAUUCCGAAAGUCCACAAGAGUGAGUUCUAGUCAUCUCUAGUUUAUUAAAAUCAAUCAAAUUAAAAGAAUAAUGAGGUUUGCAACAGUUAUAACCAAGAAAACGAAUCAGAAUAUUUCACUAAGCACUCAGAAAGAAUGGGACAUAUGAAGGCUCAAAAGCUCACAUUAGGGUUCAUAUGAAUCAAAAUUUGACUUAACAUGCUCAUUUCUGUACCAAAGUUUCAAAACUACGUCCGCUACAUUUCAUAGAUUUCCAUUCAUUGCAAUUAACUUCAGAAUAUCAGUUGGAAAUUAUCUCAAUCUUAUGAUCUUCCUUUAUAAAUUUAGAGAAUUAAGCUCAUCACAGACAGUUAAGGGCUCCUAAGACUCAAAAAUAAAACAAAAGACUCAAAAGCAACAAAAACUGUUUUUGGAUUUCUCAAUUUUUUCGAAUAAAAAUUCAACAAACAUGUAAAUCCCUCCCCCACACUCAAACUCUACAUUGCCCUCAAUGUUCACAAAAUAAUGUGUAGAAUCAAAGUAUGGAGUAGGAAAUUACGACACAACAAACAACAAACAAAACAAGUAAAAACAAAAUGUAAAAGGGAAGAAGGGAGGGAAAACAUCUACGUUGAUGGCUCUUCCACAUCUUCUGGUGAGUUAGGUUGCCUCCCAAUUAGCGCCUCAUUUAACGUCCAUGAGCCAAACGAUUGUACCACACAUUAGUUCUGUGUGAAUGGUUCUUUGUGAAGGGGUACAUCCUCCACAUUGUGUUCCUUGAAAGUCUCAUAAUAAGGCUUCAACCGAUGGCCAUUCACCUUGAAUUCACUCCCAGUUGUGUCACUUCAUAUCUGAACAGCACCAUGGGGAAAAACAUUAGUAACAAUAAAAGGGCCAACCCAUUUAGAACGAAGUUUACCUAGAAAAAGUCUUAGCCGAGAGUGGAACAGUAGAACUUUUUAGCCCACAACAAAACUCUUUCCACGAAUCAUCUUAUCAUGGAAUGCCUUUGUCUUCUCUUUGUAGAUCCAUGCAUUGUCAUAGGCAUCAUUUCUGAUCUCCUCAAGUUCAUUCAACUAGAGUUUCCAGUGUAGGUCGGUAUCAUCAAUGUUCAUGUUAAAAGUCUUGAUUGCCCACCACGCUUUAUGUUCAAGCUCCACUACAUGCCUUCCCGUAGACUAGCCGAAAUGGAGAUGUCCCAAUGGGGGUCUUGUAAGCUGUGCGGUAAGCCCACAAUGCAUCGUUCAGCUUUUGGCUCCAAUCCUUCCGUGUGGGGCCCACAGUCUUCUCCAAAAUUCUCUUUAUCUCACGGUUAGAUAUCUCUGCUAACCGUUUGCGGAUGGUAAGGUGUAGAAACCUUGUGUGUCACAUUGUACUUCUUCAGCAGAGCCUCAAUUGAUUUGUUGCAGAAAUGUGAUUCUCCAUCGCUUAUGAUAACACGUGGCAUUCCAAAUCUGCAAAAGAUGUGAGGGAAGGAAAUCUGCAACAACUUUGGAAUCAUUAGUUUUGGUGGCUAUCGCUUCCACCCAUUUCGAAACAUAAUCAACUACCACAAGAAUAUACAAAUAACCAUUGGAUGAAGGAAAAUGUCCCAUAAAAUCAAUUCCCCAUACAUCAAAAAUUUCCACAGUUAUAACAGGAGUUAAGGGCAUUUGAUCUCUAGAACCUAGGGUUUCCUAAUCUUUGACACCUAUCACAAGUCUUGCAAAACAAGUAAGCAUCUUUAAAAAUUGUAGGCCAAAAGAAACCUGCAUCCAACACUUUAAGGGCAGUUCUUCGACAUCCAAAAUGACCUCCACAAAUUCAGAAUGGCAAAAGGCAAGAAUAGAUUGAUGUUCAUUUUCAGGGACACACCUCCUAAUUAUUUGAUCUUGACAAUGUUUCCACAAAAAAGGAUCAUCCCAAAUGUAAUGCCUAGCCAAUUUCUUAAGUUUUUCUUUUUGAGAACGAGGUAAAGUGUCUAGAAAAGUCUUAGUCACAAGAUAGUUCACAAUAUCAACAUGCCAUGGUUCACUUACCUCAAUUCUGAAAAGUUGUUCAUCUGGAAACGUCUCACACAAGGGCAAGGCGUCCUCAUCAUGUACUAAUCUGCUCAAGUGAUCAGCAACGUCGAAUUCUUGGAGUAACAACAUCCAUCGUAUAAGCCUUGGCUUCACCUCUUUCUUUGUAAACAAGUACCUCAAUGCUGCAUGAUCAGUAUAAACAAUUACUUUAGAUUGAAGCAAAUAAGAACGAAAUUUAUCUAAAGCAAAUACAAUAGCAAGAAGCUCUUUUUCAAUGGUAGAGUAAUUCAAUUGUGCAUCAUUGAGCGUUCUUGAGGCAUAGUAAAUGGCAUAGGGCUUCUUGUCCUUCCUCUGCCCUAGCACUGCUCCAACAACAUGGUUGGAUGCAUCACACAUCAAUUCAAAGGGUUCAUUCCAGUUUGGGGGUAGCAUCACCGGUGCUGUUGUCAACAAUUCCUUCAACUUCUCAAAUGCCUUCUUGCAUUCGUCAUCAAAAUCAAAGGCUACCUCCUUUUGAAGGAGGCAAGUUAGGGGUCUGGCUAUCUUGGAAAAGUCCUUGAUAAACCUGCGAUAAAAACUUGCAUGGCUAAGAAAUGAACGUAUCUCCCUCACAAUAGUGGGGUAUGGUAAGUAACGAAUAAGAUCAAUCUUGGCCUUAUCAACUUCAAUUCCCCUGGCAGAUAUGAUAUGUCCCAAAACAAUUCCUUGUGUCACCAUGAAAUGACAUUUUUCCCAAUUCAAUAAUUGGGAAAAAUUAUUGAUUCAAUAAUUGAUUCAAUCUUAAGAACCAUUUUUAUUUCCAGAAAGUCUACAUUUAUGUGAUUUUGCUCAUCUAAAUGGUAGACAUUUCUCAUGAAAAUAGUAGUUGUGUUUUAUGUUAAAUGUAGACUUUGCAACUUUUGCCUUUAAUGGGUUCAAUAUCAAGAACAAUUUUGAUUUCCAGAAAGUCUACUUUUUUGUUAUUUUGCUCAUCUAAAUGGUAGGCAUUUCUCAUGAAAAGAGUAGAUGUGUCUUAUGUUAAAUGUAGACAUUUCUCAUGAAAAGUUUACUUUUCUUUGAUUUCUCUUAUGUUAAUGAUAGACAUUUCUAAUGAAAAUAGUAGAUGCGUCUUAUGUUAAAUGUAGACUUUGCAUCUUUUACCUUGGGUUGCUUCAAUCUCAAGAACAAUUUUGAUUUCCAGAAAGUCUAUUUUUCUUUGAUUUCGUUUAUGUUAAUGGUAGAGAUUUGUAAUGAAAAUAGUAGAUGUGUCUUAUGUUAAAUGUAAAGUUGCAAAUUUUACCUUGGGUUGAUUCAAUCUCAAGAACAAUUUUAAUUUCUAGAAAGUCUACUUUUCUAUUGAAAACAAUAGAUGUGUCUUAUGUUAAAUGUGUCUUUCUACUUGCAACAAUUUUUAUGAUAUUUUUCAUGACAGUAGUAGCUGUUUCUUAUAAUAGUUGUAGACAGUCUCAAGAAUCAUUUUGAUUUCUAGAAAGUCUACUUUUGUGUGAUUUUGCUCAUCUGAAUGGUAGAUAUUUCUAAUGAAAACUGUAGAUAUAGAGAGACUAAACAGAGAGUUAACGGUGUUAGUUUGUUUUAACCUGCUAUAGCAAGUCAAAACUGGUUGGGUAUCUAUACCUUAAGGCACACAAGUGGAACCCUUCUUAUAUUCCCACUUUAUGAUCAUGUAUAUUUCAGGAAGAUUUAAAGAACCCUUUUGCAUAGAGAAUUGGGAGGUUACGCUUCAGAGCUUUGUUGGAUAGACUCCCUAAGACAAGAUGGCCCUCAGGUACUCUUCAUGUCUUGUACGUAUUACUUACUGUUGUAACUUUCCUAACUAGCACAAACACCAAUUCCAAGCCUAACUAUGCCAAUCGAACGAAAACAUUACAAAAAACCCUAGAACUUCCACUCACCGGUUCUCCUCACCUGAAGCAAACUGGACUGAGUCCUUCUAGGGCAAGGCAACUGGGUUGAAGACCUUCAAAACCAUUUAAGGCUUGCCCAGAUUGGUGGCUGGAGGAGGAAGUUCCGGCGACAUAGAGCUUUGGGCAGUCAGGACUUCCAGGCGAGUUUCCUCCCGAUCGACGGCACUAGGGGCUCGGUCACCUACCUAGAAAUGAAGAGGAGAAGGUGGUGGUUCGAUUGGGACCAACUUGGCGGCCGGAGCUGGUCGGACGGCGGCGGACGAGCGAGAAGAAAAUCUUGUAGGGAGAGGUUCAAGGAGAGAGUUGGGGGGAAGAGAGAGAGAAGUGAGGUAAGAGAAAUGGUUUGGGCCUCCUCAAACUGGUCCAACACCUUAAUACUCACACCAAAAAAAUAAACCCAACUCCAAAAUUAACACCACAAAAUAAUACCCUAAUAAAAAUUACCUUUUACUAGCUAAAAUUAACCAUUUUUAUCGUCAUCACAUUUUUCUCCUAUGAAUAAUUUCACCGAAAUAGACGUCCCCAAAAACCCCUCUAGGGACCAUUUAAACUAAUAACUCAUUGACGAAGACGGUAAAAAUGAUAUUAAUACCAAGCUAGUAAAUAAGGUAAAAAUUUAAGAAUCGGGAUGUGACACGUUAAAAUGCUCAAUGAAAUAACCAAUCCAAAUAAUCAACAUAUUUCAAACCUCAAAUCCUUGAACCAUUAGAAUUAAUAUAAGUUAAAAUACCAAAUCUUUUACCCAAGCUCAAAUUCAUAAGUUCCUCAAUGAAUUCAUAAUCAAUGGGUCAAUCACACAUAAAUCCCAUAACCAAUUCAAAAGCCGAAAUUAUAAUUUAAGCUUGGAAAAAUGUAUAAUGGACAACUUAAAAUCAUGCAUGCAUAUUAGUUAAAAACCAAAAUGUCCACUCACAGAAAAAAAACCCGCUACGCCGGUCGGCGGUCAGAGCCUUCCUCACGUGGUGUCUCCUCUCGUCCUGAGCAAAACGAGAUUUAAGACCCGAGACAACAAUCACAAAAUUAAUCAGUUAUAAGGAAAAGCUAUCCUAGCACUAAUCUUACUCGCCCAAACUUUCCAAAAUCUACUUAUAGCUCUACUUUAUCAACAACUUUCCUACAAUUCGACGAGGAGUUCUAGUGUAGAAUAUAAUGGACCAAACGAAUAAGCCUCCUCAAUUCCUCCCCUACCAAAACUAAUUCCAACACCAUAUCCCAAAAUCCAAGCAACCAUCUCCAAAAAUCCCCUACACUAAAUCAACAUAAAUCCCUUCUAGAAACCAUCCAAAAUUCCUCUAAACCACCAUUGUAAUCGGCAGCAGCCACCGGCAGGCGGCGGUCAACCGCCACCACCAUCUCAACUUCAUCCAAAAUUGACAACGCAUAUAUCAAACUCUUCUUCUCAACAAGCACAACAACAAUCAUGACUAACACAAAACCUACAAAUCAAAGGUUUGGCCGGAAAAUACCUCACAAGCUCAAGAACACAAAAACUCCGAUUUGGCUAUAUACCCCGAAUUGUUCUUCCACUUUUGGAGGGUUGAAAGCCAAUAGGAGAGCUACAAAAGCACCCAAAGAUUGCUGGAAACGGUGGCCGGAGAAGGGAGUUCCGGCAAGGGCAACUACGCGCACUACUACAAAUAUGGGCUUUAAUGACAUUAUAUCCAUGGCGUUUCUGGUAGGGGUGGGCAUAAAGCCCGUUGGAGAUAAAAAGCCCGAUCCGGACCGGCCAGCCCGACCGGGCCGGGCUGGGCUUUUAACUGGUCCCGACUAUAUUUAUUGGAGGUCCAGGCCGGGCCCGUGUAUAACCGGUCCGGGCCUGGGCCUUGUUUAUGGAAAUGAAAAAAAGCCCGAGAGCCCGACUAAUAUACAUGUCAUACUUUUAUUGGGUGUUUUUAAGGAUCUACGAUAAUAGAAUGAGCUCAACCACACAGGAUUUGUGGCCGGUCGAAGACCUAAACUAAAUUGAGAGGGUCAACUCUCUCAGUCUCGCUCUCGAACAGUCGAACUCUCGCAGUCGCAGAGUCGCAGUCUCGCUCUUGAACACUUGAACACUCGAACUGUCGUUGAGUCGUUGUCGCACACUCGCACUCGCACACUCUCGCUGUCUCGCUCUCAAACUCUAGCCUAGUCUCGCUGUCUCGCACUCGCACACUCUCGCUAUCUCAGUCUCUCAGACUCUCUCAGGCUCGCAUCUCAUCUUCAUUGGAAAGCAGCUCGAUCAAAGGUCUGCUCCUCUCUCUCUCUCNNNNNNNNNNNNNNNNNNNNAACGUAACGUCGUCCUCUCUCUCUCUCUCUCUCUCUCUCUCUCUCUCUCUCUCUUCGUAGUUUGUAUCUGCGAUUCUGAAUUUGAGAUUGGCUUUGAUUCUAAUCUGGGUUCUUGUUUCUUGUUUUGAUCGACUCUUCUGGAGAAAGUAAGGCUCUUCCUGGAAUCUAACCCUGUUUAUUCAAUAACAUUGCUUGAUUUACUGCUUAGUUUCCAUGCUUUGGUGUUAGGAAUCAGUAGCUCUUUUGUUAUUUUAGGUUCUAGUGUCUAGCGAUAGCUUCUGUGCUGUACCAGCUUGAUUCUUUCUAGUUGUUUUUUAGGGUCUUGAUGAAGUCUGAAUAUGCCUCUAGUGAUGAUCCAUAUAUACUUUCGUUCUUCCAAGAUUCUCCAUGCGGAAAUUUUUUGGAGACCUGAACUAAAGAGGCUGCAUUAUGCUUUUAGUUACAUUGUCUUAUACAUACAAACUGUACUAUUGUCUUUUAGGGAUUGAUGCUCCUUGUGCUUCUUUUUGGUUGUUUUGAAUUAGAUUUUCAGCUAUUGCGGUGGUUUUGAUAUUUAGAUUUAGGUUCUAUUCAACAGUUUUUUUUGUUUUUAAUAAUGUAUUGGUUAAUGUGGUUGUUAAAAGCGCCGAUGUAUGGACUUCGUCGUCGGUCUAUGUUAUGCUACCUAUGUUAUGCUGGUUUUUGCGAUGACACAAUCUUUUGUUUUGGAAUGAUACAUUUUAUGCAUCUUGUUAUGUAAUGUUCUUCUAGGUUUAUACUAUGAGAUUUGUGCUGAGUUUGGUUUAUACUAUGAGAUUUGUGCUGAGUUUGUUAUUUAGAUCUUAUAUAUAAGCUGUAUAUGUCAAAUUGAUUGAUUGGGUUCAUGUAUUUUUUGGCAGGUUUGACGCAGAGUUUUUGGAUCAAGUCUAGAAGACCUUGCCUCCUGCUCAGGAUGUCUGGCCGGCCAAUGGAUGUUAUCAGUAGCAAGAAUAUGUAACCUAUGCUUGUGGGUGAACCAUGCUUAUCAGUAGUUUAGACUUCAGAACUUCGUUUGUCACUAUCAUCUUCUCUUUUAAGUGAUCAACACUGUAACUAAGUUAGGACUCUCUCCUUAGGGUGUCUGGUGUGCAGUAAACUGUAUAAAUUAUAAAAUUGGUUUUCUUAUGUUUGCCUUGAGUUUUUUUUUUUUAUCUUCUCAAUUUAGAUAGAUGGUGAUGGUGAUUGAAGUUUAGAUAGAUUGUGAUGGUGAUUGAAGUUUAGAUAGAUGUUGAUGGUGAUUGAAGUUUAGAUUGAAGUUUAUUGACUUUAAUUGAAGUGUUUCUCUGCCCUUGAGUCGUUGACUGGUUUUGUUGAAAUGUUGACUGUUGAGUUUUGUUGAAGUGUUGAAUGACUUGAAUCUGUGUAGUUGGUUUUUGCCUUUUUGGUUUUGAACUGUGAGUAAUCACUAAUCACUGUAAUUGUGAUUUUGUGCAUUGUGAGUCUGUGAGUUUGUAUCUUCAUUGUUGUUUGGUUGCAACAAAGGGUUUAGUCUAAACUCUUAAACUACUAAACCGUUUAGAUGUCGACGUCCUCUUCAUCGUAUGGCUGCUAUUCAGUCAAUUCUGAUUCAGAGACUGGGUGUUACAAGUCAAGCGAAGAAGUUGAAGAAAUUAAAGUACCAGCUGAGACCGGGGAUGAUUUGGUUCUAGCAGAGGCUGAGAACAAGGAGGCAGAACCAGAAGCUCCAGUUGUAGUUGAAGCUCCAGCCACAACUGAGGUUUCGCGGGGUGCACCGAGAAAAAGAAGAAGAGGUUCUGUUCCAACUCAGCCUAAGGUUUCUAAACUGACUUCAUAUGUGUGGGAGCACUUUACGAAGUAUGACAGAGAUCUCUUUACUAAUCAAGAUGGGAAGAAAGUAAAAGUAGGGCAUGAGAAGCGUGCACUAUGCGUGCAUUGUGGCGCUGACCUCAAAGGGGAUACUUCCUUUAACGGUACGAGCACUUUGCGUAGGCAUAUUCAGAAAGUAUGCUGGUAGGGAAAGUAUAGAUGACGGACAAGCUGUGAUUGUUGGGGAUGGUGAAGCCGAACCUGAAAUGCAACUCCAGAAAGUGUGGACCAAUGACCGUUGUGUGCAAGCUGCCUGUGAGAUGAUAGUGAUCGAUGAGCUGCCGUUUAGCCAUGUUGAGGAUGAAGAGUUUAGGCAUUUUUGCAAGGUGGCUGUCCCGCAAUUCACUCCACCAUCUAGGAGAAUAGUAGUAAGGUGCUUUUGGAAGUUGUAUGAUGAGAAGAAAGAGGAGCUUAAGAAGGUGUUAAGUAAUCAGAGGUUGUGCUUAACGACAGAUACUUGGACUUCAAUUCAGAAGAUCAACUAUAUGGUGUUGACGGCACACUUUAUAGAUGAUGGUUGGAAUUUGCACAAGAGGAUCAUCAACUUUUGUGUGAUUCCUAAUCACAAAGGCACAACAAUAGGCAAGAUUUUAGAAUCUUGUUUGCUGCGUUGGAGGAUAGAGAAGGUGUUGACUAUCUCGGUCAAUAAUGCAAGUGCAAAUAAGGUGGCGAUAGAGUAUCUUCAAGGGAAAAUGGCUGCAUGGAAAGACCCCCCGGUGUUUGGAGGAAAGCACCUUCAUGUGAGGUGUUUGGCUCACAUCUUGAACAUCAUAGUGAAGGCUGGUUUGUCCUUAAUGGAUAAAAGUUUUGCAGCAAUUAGAAAUGCAGUCAAGUAUAUUAGAAGUAGUUCUAAUAGAUUGGACGUGUUCAAGGUGUACAUGGAGAAGGAGAAAUUAGAAGGGAACAUAGACACUGAAAAAAUACCGGCACUUGAUCUUCCAAUAAGAUGGAAUUCUACCUUUUUAAUGCCAGACAUAGCUUUAGAUGUGAGGCCAGCUUUUGAAAGGAUGGCUGCAGAGGAAAUGAACAAGUAUAGAAGCUAUUUUGAUGAAGAAGAUGAGCUCGAUGAGGAAGAAGAACAAGAGUAUGUUCCGGUGACACCAAGAACAAGAAAAAUAAGAGUUGGACCACCACAAGAUGAGGAUUGGGAAAAGGCUGAAAUAUUUGUGUUGAUCUUGAGGGUUUCUCAUGAUGUGACAAUGAGGAUGAGUAUGACUAGACACCCCACUGCUCAUAAAGCAUUUCAUGACAUUGUAGCAAUAGAAGGGGAGAUUAAUGCACUUUUUGCGCCUACUGCUGGAACUAGAAGUGAAGUUGAAUUGCUGAUGUUGAAGAUGGCAGAAAAGAUGCUUGCCAAGUUUAGAAAAUAUUUUGGACGUAUUGAAGACAUGAAUCAGUUGUUGUUGGUUGCAUUGGUAUUGGAUCCUAGGUUCAAGCUGAAGAACAUAUCUCAUACUUACCUACAAGUGCUCCAUUAUUCACCUAAGGAAGCAAAAGCCAAGACUAACUCUGUUAAGGAGCUCUUGGUUGCCUUAACUGACAUCUAUAGAACAUCAACCAAUGCAUCAGCCAAUGACAAUACAUCUUCAAAGAGCAGCACUGCAGCAAGUGUCGUUUUCGGCAGCGCAAAAGAAACAGCCUCAUCUUUCAAGUCGAAGAGAAACAGGGCUGUGAAGAUGUCAGGGAAAAUGGCCGACUUGUUGGAAGGUAGUACCUACUGUGUGUUCUAUUUUUGUUAAAAUUUGUUUAUGGCUGUUCUUCAUUUCUUCUUCAAUGUUGAACUUACUGUGAGUUUUGAGGGGCUUUAAGAUAUGGUGUUUCAUAUGUGUUUUGUUGCAGGUUGGCAAAAGGCUUUAGCUGAAUCCGACGAAGUCAUUGUUGAGAGUGAGGUUGAUAGAUACUUGCUUGAUCCAAUCGAGUGUCCACCCAAGAAAGAAGCAGCUAAUUGGUGCCUGCUACAUUGGUGGAAGACAAAUGGCUGCAAAUAUCCAAAUCUUGGUCUUCUAGCAAAGGAUGUACUUGCUAUCCAGGUUAGCACAGUUGCAUCUGAGUCAUCCUUCUCUACUGGAGGUAGAGUGAUUGAUCCUUUUAGGAGUUCUUUAACUCCUAAAACAGUGGAAGCAUUGCUUUGCUUGCAAAAUUGGAUAAAGAAAAAAGAUCAAUCUNNNNNNNNNNNNNNNNNNNNNNNNNNNNNNNNNNNNNNNNNNNNNNNNNNNNNNNNNNNNNNNNNNNNNNNNNNNNNNNNNNNNNNNNNNNNNNNNNNNNNNNNNNNNNNNNNNNNNNNNNNNNNNNNNNNNNNNNNNNNNNNNNNNNNNNNNNNNNNNNNNNNNNNNNNNNNNNNNNNNNNNNNNNNNNNNNNNNNNNNNNNNNNNNNNNNNNNNNNNNNNNNNNNNNNNNNNNNNNNNNNNNNNNNNNNNNNNNNNNNNNNNNNNNNNNNNNNNNNNNNNNNNNNNNNNNNNNNNNNNNNNNNNNNNNNNNNNNNNNNNNNNNNNNNNNNNNNNNNNNNNNNNNNNNNNNNNNNNNNNNNNNNNNNNNNNNNNNNNNNNNNNNNNNNNNNNNNNNNNNNNNNNNNNNNNNNNNNNNNNNNNNNNNNNNNNNNNNNNNNNNNNNNNNNNNNNNNNNNNNNNNNNNNNNNNNNNNNNNNNNNNNNNNNNNNNNNNNNNNNNNNNNNNNNNNNNNNNNNNNNNNNNNNNNNNNNNNNNNNNNNNNNNNNNNNNNNNNNNNNNNNNNNNNNNNNNNNNNNUAUAUUCUUCAUUUCUUAUAGACUAAUAUUCAAUUAUUCUCUUACAGGUAAAAGAUGAAGGGCAUGUCGGCAACUGAAGUUAUGAACUCACAGCAUAGCUAGACUGCAUAACAGCAGGCUUGUCAAUGGAGAUAACAAAUUUAUGCCUUGAUUUUGUUCAGCUACUUUGAAUGUUUGAUUGCUUACUGAUUACUUAUUUUUGUUGUGAACUGUUGGACUAUUGGUAUUGGAUACUUGCCUACUUAGUCCUCUACUCCUCUUGGAGUUUUAUUUAAUAUUUGUUGUUUAAAAUGACUUCUCUGUUAAUUUGUUAGUGCUGGACUGAUGGUUUUAAUUAAAUUCAGUUGUUGAGAACUUGAGAUUUGAUUGCUUUGCAGCCUUUGCUAGUUUUUGCUGUGCUUUACAGUUUACUGCUUUGUGCCUUUGUUGAGCACUUGAACAGUUGAACACUUGGUCAGUUGGUCUGGUUUUGCUAUUGCAGAUUUACAGUUGAGUUGUCAGUUCACUCAGUUGUGUGCACUGUGCAGUGUGUUGAGCUUUUAGUCUUGCACAUUCUAGUGAUUUCAUAGUAUAAGUCUUAUAGAUUAUGCAGAUAAGCAGAUUGCAUUGCAAAUUUGGCAAUGGCAGAUAAGCAGAUUUGCAUUGCAUUUCAUUUCAGGUUAUCGGGCCCACAAGCCCGACAGGACCGACCCGGUUCUUGCCGGUCCAGGCUUUUUCCGGGCCCUGAAUUUGAAACAAUAAAACCCGGCCCGGUUAGAGUGUAUCUGGUCUGGGCCCGGGCCCUGUAAAGUAGCGACCGGGCCAGGCCCGUGCCCAGCCCUAGUUUCUGGCAAAAUCGCCAUGAAAGAAUGUUUCAAUGACAUUUUUAUAUCAAAACGUCGUGAAUCCUUUUGGGCUAAAUAAUUAACGACACUUUUAAAACGCCGUAGAAUAUUAUAAACAUUAACGGCGUUUCUCAGACGCCAUAAAAGGUAAUCGCAUUUUACCCUAUCCUAAGGAAUUAGUGGAGCACAAUAUAUUUGGAGAUUCAUUGUGGUUAAGGUGGUACUGUUGUAAGCAAGUUUGGGGGACCUACUUAUCGAUUCAAGGAAGGAAAAGAAGAAAAAUAAAGUUGUUGGUUGUUGAAAAAAAAAAAAUUAUGCAAAGCCAAAGAGAAAAGAAAAAAAAAUCAAAAGAUGUAAAAAGUUAGGUUCCUUGAAUCUGAUUCAUUGUUGGUUGUAGUUGGGAAGGUUAGAAUGAAGCAAAAGCCCAAAACGGUGACAUCCGACCCCAUAGAAGAAGAAGAAAAUUCUGAUUACUUGCUUCAUGAAAUUUUGAGUUCAAUGCCUUAAGGAGACAUCGUUGUUAGUGCUCUACUAAAUUUCCUUAGGAUCUUUGUGUUUCCUUAUCCCUUCUUUCAUGAAAGCCCACACCCCUUUGGCCUUCCAUUACAACCCUGAAACAAAAGUCCUAUUUGAUCAUUGGGGAUGGCAGCUGGCCUGUUGGAGAUUUCUGUGUGAGAUGAGCCUAUGUCUUGGGUUUCAUUUGGUCAAUGUCUGGUAUCGUUCGUGAAAUCUAAUUAAAAAUUAUAUCCAUAAAGAGCCUUCUUGUUAUUUACGUGAGCUAUUUGUUUUGUGCAUAUUAUCUCUCUUACGUAUAUAGGAUGUGUACAAAAGUCAAAAAAUCAUGAGUGAAAAGAUUGGAGUGCACACUUGUGAGGAAUCAAGUUGAUGCUUGUUUGAAACAUGAUUUUGAGCAUGAUGGUUAUCAAAAUGAAUUAGCUUUUAAGUGAGUUUGUGGAUUAAUAUUGUGACUGUUUGAAUCUUGAUGGACCAUAUGUGUGGGCAUUAUUGUUCUCUGAUAUGUUUGGAAGGCGUUAGGUUUGUGUUUAGUUUUCUUGUUUUGCUCGAGGACUAGCAAUAUCUAAGUUUGGGGGUAUUUGAUAGAUUCGUAUUUCAUACAUUUUUAUACCCUUAGAUGCAUGAUUAUAUGCUUAGUUCUUGUCAAUUGUGAGUCAUUUACUUGGUUUUUACAUUUUGUAGGUCAAGUUGGAGAAAAAGAGAAUUUGGAGCUAAGUGAUCCAGAAACUGCUCUGCUGUGCGUCAACUUUGAGAAUUAAACUAUACCUGCUCACAAGGAAUUUGGAGGCGAGCCAAACACCAUUGGAAAGCUACGGAUGUUAGCUUUCUAUGAAAUUUUGCAGAAGUGGAUUUGCAUUUUUCUAGAGCAAGUUAUGAAGGUUUGAGUGAACCCAGCGAUUGGAGGCAGAUUCUGACGAAUUUUGUGUUUCUUCUCAUGAUUCCAAUUUGUGAAGCCCAAGUCUAUCAAUCUUAAUACUUCAAGGAAAGGGACUGAACGUGUCUACACAUUUGGAAGGCUAUCCUUACAUUGACAAUAAUAACCUUUUGUUAUUUGGAGAGAAGAUAACCUUUUGUUAGUUGAUAAAAUAAAAUAAAACAAAUAAAUUGAAAAUAUUAAAUAAAAAAUACUAUAGCUAACGAAUUUCAUUACUUUAGCCGACGAAAUAAAAAUUUCGUCGGCUAAAGGUAUCGGGUAUAUAAUUAAACCCAGCACUCGUUAGCCUCCUUGAACCCUCACCGCGCUCCACCGCCUCCUCGAGCCCUCCACAGCCACCUCGAGCCAUCUCCGUUCUGCUCCGACGAGGCGGCGACACCCUCAUGCUCCACGCCCUCCAGUCCACCACCGUUUACCUCCUUUUAGCCCUCCGUGAGUCCUCUUUCUCACUUUAAUAGAUCUACUUCUCCUUACUGUGUGUAUGACUAGGUUUUUGGGUUGUAUUGAACUGUAAAUUGUUGUUACUGUUAUUAUAAUUGUUCGGAAUUUAAUGGGUAUGAAUACGAUUUGUUGAAAUUUAGAGUGUUCAAUCGAGUUAGGGUUACGAUUUCUAAGUUUGUUCUUGAUUGAUUUUGGAGGCUAAGCAUCAUAGAUGCAGAGAAUAAAUAUCAACUUGUUUUCCCUUGUGCUUGAUUGAAAUAUGUGUUCUUUUCAUAAGCAUACUGCAUACAUUUGUUGAUGAUUUUUCAGCUGAUUUACCUUAUUUAUUGUGUGAAUUAAAACUUAAUUUUCACACUCAUAAUUGUAAUGUGACGUUAUUUAUUCGUUUCAUGCUGUAUUUUGUUUCUCUAAUACUGAAUGGUGUAUUGGUAGCUAAUAAUUCAUUUUCUUUCAAUUUAUAAAUUUAUUUCUCACCGUCGAGAUUCUCUAUUUUUUUUUCUUGAUUAGGAAGUUCAAGCCCAACCAGGGUUGAAAUCCUGGAUUCGCAACUGUUUUAAACAGGAUGAGCGGUAAUUUUAGAUCGAUGAACGGUUCGAAUGGCCAAAGGUCUGAAUCGUCUAAGGGAACCUCUAUCAACCCUCAAACGUCGUUUCGGGCCCCAUGACAUCCAGACGUGCGACCCUUCUGGAGACGGCGCAGAGGCAGCCGAGCGUUUCCCAUUCCUCGAGGCAGCAGGAGGUUCCCCCUUCAUCUAGGCUGUCACAUCCCGACCCUUAUAUUUUUACCUUAUUUACUAGCCUGAUUAUAAUAAGAAUUUUACCGUCUCCGUAAUUGAGUAAAUAGUUUAAUUGGUCCCUAGAAGGGUUUCGGGGACGAUUAUGUGUGGAGGAUUAUUCGUAUGAGGAAAAUACGACUACGGUAAAAAUGGUAAAUUUUAGCUAGUAAAAGGUAAUUUUUAUUCGGGUAUUAUUUUUUCGGGGUGUUGAAUUUUGGAAUUUUGGGUUAAAAGGAGUGUUGGGUCGGCUGGGCCGAGCCCAACCCAUUUCUUCUUUCUCUUCUCCCUCUCUCCCGAUUCUCUCUCCUCCCACCCGAUUUUCUUCUCUCUACACCCAGAAGAAUUCCGGCCGUCCUCCCGCCGCCGUCCGACCUCCGUUCGCCGCCGGACCGGUCCCGUUCGGUCGGUCUCCCUCCCAGCAACAUUCUAGACCGGUGAGAGGAGCCCUAGCGCCGCCGUGNNN
This 51676-nucleotide long non-coding RNA is filed under the name Fragaria vesca (wild strawberry). Its description in RNAcentral is "long non-coding RNA (FVES_LNC005571)". The stretch from base 43476 to 43558 matches the Rfam family "Small nucleolar RNA Z159/U59". The record is from RNAcentral. Lineage: Eukaryota; Viridiplantae; Streptophyta; Magnoliopsida; Rosales; Rosaceae.